This 47503-nucleotide long non-coding RNA is filed under the name Malus domestica (apple). Its description in RNAcentral is "long non-coding RNA (MDOM_LNC017846)". The record is from RNAcentral. Lineage: Eukaryota; Viridiplantae; Streptophyta; Magnoliopsida; Rosales; Rosaceae.
UUAUUAUUGACACAGGUUAUUCCGAGGCUGAAGAUUCUUAAUUUCAGUCAUUCGCAUGGCCUUAGGACAAUCCCCGACUUCUCAGGACUCUAUAACCUUGAGAGGUUGAUUCUUAAACAUUGCUUAAAUUUGGUUGAGGUUCAUGAGUCCAUCGGACACCUAGAAAAACUUCUUGUUUUGAAUCUAAAAGGCUGCAAAAAUCUCAUGAAGCUUCCAAUAUUGAGAUCUAUUCAGGAUCUUAUUCUUUCUGGUUGCUCAAAGCUUGAAAUGAAGAAACUCAAUCUGGUAUCAUCUAAAUCAUGGUAUUCAGUCUGGUCGUGGGUGUCGCCAAGAAAAAAUACUAAAUUAAGCAGUUUCUCAUUGGCAAGUUUACCACGUUCUCUGACAAGUUUAAGUCUGGAUUGCUGCAAUAUAUCAGAGAUUCCAAGUGCCCUAACUAUGCUGUCCUCGUUAGAGUACUUGAAUCUGGAUGGUAAUCCGAUUACAAGCCUACCAGAAAGCAUGAACUAUCUUGUUAAGCUCCGGACUCUUAAAGGAUCUGAAUGCAGAAACCUCACAACACUUCCAGAGCUCCCACGUUCUUUGACGAGUUUAACGCUGGUUCGCUGCAAUAUAUCAGAGAUUCCAAGUUCCCUAACUAUGCUGUCCGCGUUAAAGUACUUGAAUCUGCAUGGUAGUCCGAUUACAAGCCUACCAGAAAGCAUGAACAAUCUUGUUAAGCUCCAGACUCUUAGAGUAUCUGGUUGCAGAAACCUCACAAUGCUUCCAGAGCUCCCACGUUCUUUGACAAGUUUAAAUCUGGCUUGCUGCAAUAUAUCAGAGAUUCCAAGUGCCCUAACUAUGCUGUCCUCAUUAAAGUACUUGGAUCUUGAUGGUAAUCCGAUUACAAGCCUACCAGAAAGCAUGAACAAUCUUGUUAACCUCCAGACUCUUGAUGUAACUGGUUGCAGAAACCUCACAAUGCUUCCAGAGCUCCCACGUAGUUUGGAACAAUUGCAUGAUAGAGGUUGCGCAUCAUUGAAAAGAAUAACAAAUUAACCGAAGUUGGCCAUGUCACCGGACUUAGAUUACUGGUUUUCUUGCAUAGUAAUGGACCCAAGGCUAUGGUAUUGUGGGAAACUUGUUGAUUUUAGAAGCUUGUUGGAUACACUAGCAUUGGUCUCAUAUCUCUCAGAUCUAUUCGAUUUGGAACCCAAAGGUGGCAUUGAGGUCCAAGGGAACUAUUGUGAGAGUUUGGGCGUCAAGGUUCUCUCUCUCUCUCUCUCUCUCUCUCUUAUGUACAGGUGCUUAUAAUAUGGUGAAUAAGAUCUCUAUGGCGUAAACGAUUAGAUUGUAAUGACAACAUCACCAUGGAACUGCAGGGAACUUUUGACUGCUGCAUAUUGAGCAUAUUUGUUCAGGGGAGCAAGAUUCCAGAUCGGUUCAAUUACAGGAGCAUGGGUAACACUGUGUUCUCUAUUAUUGUUCCUUCACAUCUUAAUCUCAAGAUCGUAGGUUUAAACGCAUGUAUAUUAUAUGCACAGCAGUCGGAUCGGAGCCUUGAGGUUGCACGUGGCCAUGAUCACCGUUCGCUUGAACUUAGGAAUGAGACAAAGGGCCGUAAGUGGAACUUAAGAAUGCGGAAUGAGGUUGAAUGGAACUUAAGAAUGCCGUUGGAUCAUGGGGAACAAUGAGUUGGAAUGCGGGGAAAGAGUGUGUCUUGCAAUCAAAGAGGACAAUGGUUUCCUCACAAAGGAGAUUGGAGUCCAGUUUGUGUACAAGCGGCAAAAUAAGGAUAGGGAGGAUGUGCCAUCAAGUAGUGAAGAUACAACGAUCCAACGAGAAAGAUCUCCUUGGGAGUAGACCCAAAGUUUCCUUGAAACCACAAGACCCCGUGUUCCGGGGGGUGUAGAGACGGGGAUUCAAUGCAUCCAUAGCUGCGAUAAGAAAGUAAUUUCAACUGUCAUGUGUGCGGCUGAAUACUAUUUCUGUAACAGUGACAGGAUCGAGAGGCUCUACCGCAGUGGGUCGUAGGCUUUCGGACUUUUAGCCAAAAUAACCCAGUUUAAUUGAUGUUGGUGAUGCCCAAAUCACUAGAUUCAGAUGUGUAUUGGUUGUUAAGCUUUCGUUUCUAUCUAUUUUCUGUUUCCUCCUAAAAAAUUGUUUUCAAGAAUUUAAUAAAAUUCCAUACCAAACAAGUUCUUGCCUAGAUAAGAGUAUGAACUAGCAAAAAUGCCCGUGCUGCGCUGCGUGGUUGUGUGACACGCAUUUGGUAAGCUUCGGGGGAGAUAAGAGUAAUGGUAGAACUUAAUGAAACUUGGUUGAUUAGAUUUUUUUUUUUUUUUUUUUUUUGUUCAUAGUAACGGGCAUUGUGCAGGUAAGUCAUUUUCUUCAGAGAAUUGGGGAACAGGUUCAUGGUCUUCUUUACACAAAUCUAUGUUUAGUUUACCACAUAGAUUAGUGGCAACGAUCACACGACCAUCGCCAACUACCGCUACUUCGAAAUCAAAAAACCGCAAACUAAGGUUAAGUGUUGGUAAAGAUGAAAGGUUAUAUGUAUUAUGUGACUAAUGACUGAUGUUGCCGAGACACGAAAAACAUGAAGCUUCCUGGAACUAUUUGGUUUAGUGAAAAGUAAAUUUCGAACAUUGUUUCGUGGUGUUACGCAUGCCAACCACAUACUCUGCGGGUGCUCACAAGGAUUCGACAUCUUCUUCCUGAUGCUCCAGAACAAUGGUGGCAAGAGCAAGUCUAUAAGCUGAAGAUCUCAAAUUCCUGACUAGAACAUAUAUUUCCUUUCGUCUUCGCUUAGCUGGCACCAAAUCCCAUUGUUCCUCUCUGAGACGAGCGAGUACAACUGCCUCGCAAAAAGCUUCUGCUACUGGCUUCUUGCUGCAUAUAAAAUAAAAUGCAAUUUAGCACAUGGAAAAUGAUGAACGCAUAGCAAAAUAGAAAGAAAAGAUGGUCGUUGUAAAGUGGCAAGAGGCUGUGAACUAACAUCCCUCUAACAAAACCAGUGGUGACGAAGCCCAUUGGCGAACGAUAAGUUUCUCUAAGAACAGGGUCCUCUGGCAUUUGGAGUUCCCACUUACCAGAAGAUUGCUCUGUGAAGUACGAAGCCACAGCAGAUUGAGGCAUUUGAAGUCCUCCAUCGAAACUCUCUGACCUGCAAGACACACACAUGAAGCUUAUUUUUCAAAAUUAUUGGUCUGCAGCAUGAAUGGUGCUCUGAAAUACGUAUAAAGUCUUUCAAAAAUAGCUGCAAAACUUCAAGUCACUCCCACGAUUAAAAUUUUCAACGGUUACAUUAAAUCUCAGAAAAUUUUCAUCAAUGCAAGUUCUGAAUAAGAGACGUAAUGUAAAUAGGUCACAUUAUCUCCUCUACUAGUAUAUAAAAGACGAGAAAAUUUCAAGCACCACCGUUGUAAUACAAUCAUAAGCUUAUAGGAUAGCAUAUAAAUCAUAAGCUUAUAGGAUAUCAAAGAAAAAAUGACUACCUAGUCCACAGUGAUAUGUCCGUCAGUCGAGGAGCUCCCUCUUCAAGAAAACCUUCCUUGUAAGCAUGGAGUAAUACUCCAACAAAACAUAGUUUAUGAUUGUACUUAAAUCUAGUAAACUGAUCUUGGCCCGGACCAAGCUUGAUUUCGACCCUCAUAAACUUCGUGAAACUUCUCUCCUUAUCAGCGACAUAUGGAAACAGACGUAAAUGACAGCCUUGAAUUUCACUCAAGAAAUUUGUCAGCAAAAAACUCGUCUGUGCGAUAAAACCAUCAAAUGAAUUUCCAUGACAGCCGGCUAAUGUAGUAUCAGAAUUUCCAGAGUCUGAAUUAGUGAUGAAUAGCUUCUGAUGCCAUGUUGCUGCCUAAAACUUUCAGCAUCUCCAACUGCAUUUGAUUCUUCGUUUAAAGCAACUUGGAUACUAUUCCAUGGGGAUAAAAUGGGAACCCUCAAAGGUCUUAUGGCUGGAGGAUGAAGUUCCUCUUUAAGAUUAGAGGCAGCAGCUUCGGUCUCCUUGAGGCAUAAAUAUGCAUCGCAAUCAGGAAAAUCUGAAGGAAUAUAUGGCAACCCCAUCUAGAAAAUAAAAGGGACUUAGAUGCAACAUUCGAUAACCUGAUAUUAAAUAUUAUAAUUUACACGUAAUAAGUUUCAAUGCUUACUUCACACGAAAUCCAGCGCUUCUCUCUCAACCCCAUUGCAUGAGCCCCCUUAGAGACAAGAGAAAUCCAAAAUGCCUUGACCCAGCUUAAGGGGAGUAUAACAGACCAUCUGUAAGGCAAUAAGAGAUAGACUUCUAAGGUAACUUUAAAAAUAUAUCAUACUCAAUUGAACAGAUGAUAAAGUUUGAUGCAUUGAUGGAAUUUUAAGGCGAGUCAGAAAAAAACAGAUUGUCACAUUCUACUUUCAUGAAAUCCAGAACUUCGAAGAUCACGUUAUCAAUUAUUGCACAAAGAGUCAGCAGGAACAUUUAUGCCAUGACUUUCAUGUUUCCGAUAAAAAGACAUAGAACUCCAUAAUAUAUAUCUUAUGAGAAACAAAAUAUAUUAACAGUUUAUAAACAGUACGAACAUACAACUCAGGAGAAAUGGUGCCCACUGAACCCACAUAUAAGCAUUAAUACAAGUACAUAAAAUAUGCAGCAAUUAGCUUAAUCCACAUAACACUAAAUGGAAGAAUAAACCAGGAAAAAAAGGAGUUUACCCAACAUGCAAGCCUCUUCCGUUACUAUCUUCAAAAGCAUAAUCGGGCAAGAUCAUGAGCCCUGUGACGUGGAGGAAGUAUUUAGUUCCCCUGAACUUCAAUCAUCGAGGCUGAACAAAUUCCUAUUCUGGUCAUGUUUUUCCUUGCAAAGAACAGCCUCUUCCACUGGAGGGCUUACUCCACUGCUAACAUCCUACAAAUUGUUUGCUCUGAUCUUGCCAUUACCUGCAGGUUCAUCUGAAAAUCGUCCAAAGAUAACAUGCUUUUUGUCUUCAGCUCCUAGUACAUCACCUAGUAUACUAGCUGAACCUAAAUCUUGAGCAUCUGCAGUGUUUCCCUUCUCUGUUAAUGUGCAAGGAUCCUUGACAUUAAGGGACAAAAUUGCAUGAGAAGGAAUUUCCUCCUCAUUUUUAAGAUGAAUUGUAGAUUGGGAAUCCUCAUCCGCCUUGGCAGCUGAAUGUCUCAUCAACUUCCAAGAAUUAUCUCUAGUCCUAUUCAGCCAGACAACAAAAUUAGCCAUCUUUAACCUCAUUACUUGGUUAUGUCACUGAAAUCCUCUCCGUAACUCACCUGGUAGAAGGGAUUAAUGUCCUUUGAAGGAGUUGAAAUGCUUUUGAUCCCACUAAUUCUAAUUUUGCAAGUUGACCCUCAAGUGAGAAACAAUUAAUCACGAUGUCCCUGCCCUCCAUCUAAGAUAAUAAAGCAUUAUAUGAAUAACAGUAAAUAAUCUACCGAGAACAUGUAGUAUCAUCUAACAGUAUGAGUUCUCUAUUCUGACAUCUACCAAGUCUAGACUAGAGGCAAACUUUGACACCUAAGCACAGCACAAAAACCACUUGAGAUAGCAUUUGAAAAAAAAUGUUGGCUUAUCAGAGAAUCAAGUACAAAGCAUAGAAGUAGACGAGUUUCAGUAUUGCCCUAAAUCAUCAUUCACUCAAAGAAUUCAAUACCAAACCAGGGCUGUUGCAUUCUAUCUUAAGAUCCAUAAAUCAUUAUUUCCUUCCUUCUGACGUGAAGUCAGAUGAGAUUAAGCCUCUAUACACUUGCUAUUGAUGUAUGUGUGAACAAAAAGAAGGAAUGGGUACCUCUUUUUGGCAAGCUAAUUUCAAAGUGUCAUAAGCUUCAGUGAGAGCAGAAGCAUGUAUCCACACCCAAAGCUGGCGAUCAGUAGAAGAGUGGUUUGUACUCUCUAGUCCUUUAAAUUCAUCGCCUUCACAGUCAGCUGCAUUAUUAUCUCUAUUUGGUUGGCCAGAAGGCCGCCACAUACAGUUCACAGGAGCAAUUGGUUUUGAAAGAGGUGCUCCCAAAUGAUGAAGCUGCAAAAAAUGGGUCAUCAAGUCAAUACCUCAAGUCAUCCACAUUCACAAAGAAAAGUGCAAUAGGAUAACUUACCAUAGCAUUAUCAUAUAUGACGCCAGAAAUAACAGAACGGGAAACAUUUUCAGAACGAGUUGACUGAGGAGACACCAUUACCAUGCCUAACACUGAUAGUAACGAAUCCUGGAUGCAUAUGAAGUAGGGUGUAACAUCAUAAUUUAGUAGCAGAAAAUAACAUAUUGCAACACUUUUCCUUUUGAAGAAAAAUAAAUUAAAAGGUAUACAAUUUCAUAGGAAUAAAUUCAUAAGAUAGAAAGUAAAUGCCUGCCUCCGGCCCCUCCAAUUGGAUAGCUACAUGAUAGCUUGCAUCAUGAACAAGCACUCCAUCCCUGAACCACUUCAAGACAGCUCUGGACCCCCUUCCUCUACAUUUUAUUGUUUUUUUUUUUUUUGAUAAAAUAGAUAUACAAGCGAAUUAGUUAUUUAUUGAGAAAUAGAAGAAAUAAUAAGCGAAAAGUAAAGAAUAACACUGCUAAAUUAAUAUGCGUUUUACCUGCCCUGCAAACCCAAGGGAAGGUAGUAACCCCAAAGCUCUGUCAUUGCGAACCGCUUCGCAUGCCAAACAUGUGUUCUAAGCCUCUUUGUACCAUCCCCUGAUGUGCAGAAACCCUUUUCAAGGUUCAUUUUAAGCUCAGCUCUCCUACGAAUGCGAUGAGGAACAUUCUUGUCAUCUUUCUCUGGAGGCAAUGUCAAAGCAUUACUCUGAUCAAGUUUUCUCUAUUUUCUAAAUCUUUUUUUGGCGGCUUGAUUGUCGUAAGCAGUGGUUCUUCUUCUCUUGCUUCUCCGAGACCGGAAAUCAUUGUUCAAUCUGUUAGAUACAAUUGAAUGGAGUGUCUCAAGCUCUGAACCCCGUGAUUCUGCAAACUUUUGGACAUUGAUUUUUCGAGGCGGAGCUGAUGAAACCUGUUGCCGUCUGAAACCAUCGGUAGCCAUUAGACAAAAUUAAACCCCUCAGAUGAAGAACGAUAUUAUACCAGUCUGCCACACAAUUAUAAUCGCCUCUUCACUCUUCGGACAUCAUUGGUCUCUAUUCGCAGUACUACUCUAUUACUCUGAAAUGUCCAAAAACAAAUUGUAAGAUUCUUCAAAGCGUAGCAAUCGCAACUGGUUCCAAUUCCAAUUACUUUUUAUGGCGCAUUUACGUAACGUAAUCAAAAUAGAGGAAUUGAAUUGAGGAGGACUCAGAAUCGGAUUCUAUUGAAGCUGUUGGAAUCGGAUUCUAUUCGCAGUACUAGUACUGUGAAAUGUCCAAAAACAAUUUUUGAGAUUCUUCAAAGCUUAGCAAUCGCAACUGUGGUUCCAAUUCCAAAUAAAUAUAAAGUUCGAAACAAUAGAAAACAUCAGAUACGAAAUUCACAGUCUAACUAACAUGAUAACAUCAAUGAUACAACAACUUCAACUUAACUUUCGAAAACCAAUAUGUAAUGACACAAAGCUAAAUGAGCAACUACUGCGGUAUCCAAUAAAUAUAUAAAGAUUGAAACAAAGAAAACAUUAAGAUAAGAAAUUCUGAAUGCAAUGUGACCAACAAAAUCAAUUACUUGGCACUGGCACUGCCACUGUAGGAAUUUAACAAAAGAAACUCCUCACAUCAACCACCAGUUGCAUUGCGUGUAUCAAAACUCACCAGAUAUGCUCACAAAUUCAUACUAACAAUUAUUUUAAAAACAAAAUCAAAAUAAGAACAAGGAUGCAGUGCAGUGCAGAUUCACUCGAAAACUAAGUGAGAUUGCGGGAUUAUCGGAACUGAAUGGCUUGGAUUUGCGUUUCAGCUUCUGGUUAUCUAGUGGUAGACGUCACAAAAUUAGUAAAAUUAACUAAUUUGAAUGAAAAUAAAGAAUAAAACUUUACCAUGGGAAUCUGCAAGCAGAGAUAGAGAGAGAGUACCUGAGGACUGAGAGAAGAAGAAUAUGUGAGAGGGAGAGGAGAGAGAUUUUGCAGCUGAAGAGUGGAGAAAGAAAGGAGGGAAAAGGGGUACCGAGCAAGUGGCAGCCUACUUGAUACCUGGAGCAAUUUAAUUGAUUACCGUUGGAUCAAUCUCAACGGCUGAAACUAAACACUUUCUGUAUCCAAGAAAAACAAGGCAUCGGACUGAAAACUCCAUUCAGGACUCGGAUUGAUUCAUCAGCGCGCUCACUCUCACUCUGUUGUUUUAAGUGAUGGAUCAUAUAAACUAAGGAAGCCAGAUCGUCGUUGUUUUCAGAGAAACACAUCUUCUCGGCCCUCUCAACUCCGAAACACACACGAGGGAGGCCAAAUGGGCCUCAGCCUUCUUCCUCGCAAUCUCACAACAAACCCAUACCUCUACCAAACGGCCCUCGCAACCUCUACCACUUUCGCUGAUUCAAUCCACGUCUUCGUCGAGGUAAAGACUUCAUCUUUUUCAAUGUUAGAGUUAAUGGGUUUUACCCCUUUACCUGAUCAAGUAUGUAAUCGCCAUUGUAAACUUGCAUGCUAGUUCUUCUCUGAUCAAGGCCAGGAAGUCGACCGAUGCUAAAUUGGAUUAUUCUCACAUCACGGUAAAACAAUUUUUGAAAUUACUGCCUGAAGUUUACUGCAUUUUCGUCACUAAUCUAAACCCAGAUAUGAGAUAUCGAAUAAGUAGCAAAUUGAUUUUGGGAUUUUAGGUUGAGCUUCGGACAGUUGAUGGGUUCUUGAAGGAUAGCACUCAAGAGUUACUACUUCAUUCCCGUUUAUGACAAGGUAUUAUUUCUUAUUCUUUUUCGGUGUCAGAUUUCGCUGGAUCUUUGCAUUUCACGUGCUCUCAUGCUUCAGUGAUGAUGUUGUGUUGUCUGUUAAAUUAUCGGAGGAGAUGGCGAAGAGCUAGACCGGUAAACGGUCGGAUUUAUUGGAUUUGAGUCGGGUUGAAUCCGAUCUGUUAAUUUAAUGGGUCAUUUAAACCCAACCCGUUAAAUUGACUGAUCAUCCGAACCCAACUUGUUAACAUUUUAUCCAAAUCAAUUACAAUCCCGUUUUAUAUAGUAGAAUUCGACUUUCUAUCAAUUAUAUGCAUCUCCUAAUCUUAACAUGGAUGAGAAAAUUGUAUAAGUAAAACACAACUUCGGCAGACCCGACAAUGAUGAGCCCUGCGAGGCUUGUAUUUAGAACACUUUUCACAGCCCCCAUGUCAGAGAUCAAGAAUCAAAAGUUUCAAAAUUAGCUACAGAGAGAAGAAAUCAGCAUUUUUAAUGUGCGGCUAGACGCACUGCCAUAAAGUACUUGAUGACGUGAACUCUUCAAAAAUUCAAUGAAAGUGGGUUGCAGGGGGAAGAGAGAGAGAGCUUUGCUUUUAAUAGUGCAGUACUGCAGUAUUCCGUCGAGUUGAAGAAGACGUCGGAGAGAGUGGUAAUUUCUGAGGAAGAAGGUGAGGGGGAAGUUCUCAGAGAUGACGUGCACACUACUGCAAUAGUGCAAUGCGAGAGAGUGAGGGUUUCAUUAUUACUAUUGAAAUUACACAAAAGCCCUCAAUAACGAGUGUUAACGGGUGGUUAAUGGGUUUCGCAGGUUCAUCCAAAAUAACCCGUUAUUUAACGGGUGCUUAAUGGGUUGACCCCGUUAACUACCCGACCCGAUAAACACUCAUCCACAUACUCAUUUUAACGGGUCAGAUCGGGUUGGGUUAACGGGUCGGAUUUAAAAUGCCAGUGCUACGAAGAGCCAUACACUUGGUAUUGCUUACUCGACUGAAACUCUCUGGUUGGGACUGUUAAUUGUACAGUUGAACUACACCACUCUCACAUCAUGAAUGACAGGUUUUGUUUUUGUUAUAGAUCAAGUCCUGAUUUGCCUGUAUUAUUGUUGAUCUUGGUAAGUUUACUUAUUUAGCUUUAGUUGGGUUCCUAAUUAUGCAUGCUUGUACUUUUUGUUCCAUACUUUGAAAUUGGCUUCAACCGCAAGAUCAUUCAAUUUGGUCACUUUUUUUUUAUAAUUUGGAACUAGUCCCCUAGACCAACCAACCUUCUUUAUAAUUUGACUCCUUCACGUAAAGCCACAUGCCCCCAAAAAUACCCUAAACCCGAAAGUCAAAUUAACUUUUGACCAAAAAAACCAAAUAUUGUCAAAUUAACGGUUUGAUUAAUGGAGGUAUGAAAUUGCUAAAAAAUACAAGUUUGUGUAUGAGAUUAAAAUGCUCUAAAGAUGUUGUAUGAGGUUACAAUUACACUCACACUUAGGAUGUAAAAUGUUAUUUACUUAAUUUUAAUUGUAAAUUUUGAAGUUUUCAAGGGCAAUUUAUGGUAUUUACAUUUAGAAUGCUUCACAAUAUAAAGUCUCCCACUUUAUAGAUAUAGACAAUUUAAUUGUAAAUUUUGAAGUUUUCAUGGAUAAUUUAUGGUAUUUUGAAUGUUUCAUCCUAUAUAAAAUUUAUGGUAUUUUGAAUGUUUCAUCCUAUAUAUAUAUAUAUAUAUAUAUAUAAAGGUUUAUGUACACCUCGUGUAACUUUUUUUUGUCCUAGUUUCAUCAAAGAACUGCUAGUGGGGGAUUCUCCACAAAAAUUGAUAGUCAAAGUCCUCUCAAAUUCUAUAUUAUCCUCAACAUCCCAUUCACUUACGAGGAAACUUCGUCGUCAAUAAGUGUGGAGUGCCUGGUGGCUAAUGGGAACCUUCCUCUUCAUAUAUCAUAUUAUGUCUUGUCCCUCUCAGAAACUGCAUAUAAUUGUCCUUGGCCUUGCAUAUGCUUGCCCUGCUUUCAUUCAUUGCGAGAACCAAGAAGCAGAGGGUUUCUCUAGAUGGAUGCUUUCCGAGAUUCCUCUUCCUCCUCUUACCGGUGUUCCUAUCAUGCCUUCUUGAGUUUCAGAGGCCAGGACACGCGCAGGGGCUUUACUGAUCACCUCUAUAGAGCCUUGGAGCUAGCAGGAAUCCACACGUUUAGAGACGAUGAUGAAAUCAAGAGAGGGGAGAAUAUUGAGUCGGAGUUAGACAAGGCGAUACAGGAGUCACAAGUAUCGAUAAUUGUCUUCUCCAAGGACUACGCUUCCUCAAGGUGGUGUUUGAACGAACUUCUGAAGAUCGUGGAACGUAGAAAUACUGAUCAUAGACAUGUGGUUCUGCCAGUUUUCUAUGAUGUGGAUCCAUCCGAUGUCAGGAAGCAGAGUGGUACUUUUGCUAAAGCAUUUGCCAGACAUGAGGAGCGAUUCAGUACCGAGAUGGACAAGGUGGAGCAGUGGAGAAGAGCUCUUGGAGAUGUUGCAUCUUUGGGAGGCAUGGUUUUAGGAGAUCGGUAAUUUCUAUUCUCAUUAUCUUCUCACGCUAAUUGAAAGUGUCUUUUAAAUUAAGUAAAAUUGUAGAUGGUGGUGAAGCUUGAAAUUGUUCGAUUUUGGUUUAUGUGUUCAGUGUUCCUAUCUAUACUGCAAUUUGUACGAGGAGCAAUCAUUUCCGUACAUGACAUAUUAUGUAAAAGAAAAUAACUUAUUUCUACUUCGUAUAUUUUGUUUCAAAUGAAUUACAGGUAUGAGGGGCAGUUCAUCCAAGAUGUUGUUGAAGAGAUUAGUAAUAAACUGGAUCCCGCAGCUUUAGACGUUGCUCCCUUUGCAGUUGGAAUAGAUAAUCGUGUGCAAGACCUAAAUAUGUGGUUACAAGAUGGAUCAAAUGAUGUUGGUGUAGCUGUCAUCUGUGGUAUGGGUGGAAUUGGCAAGAGCACCAUUGUGAAAGCUGCUUAUAACCAAAACUUUGAUAGAUUUCAAGGUAGCAGCUUUCUUGCAGAUAUACGAGAAUCUUCAGAACAACCUAAUGGUUUUGCUCGCUUGCAAAGAAAACUUCUUUUAGAUAUCCAAAAGGGGAACGCAAAGAAAGUAUACAAUGUGGCUGAAGGAAUAAGCAGGAUCAAACGAGCCGUAGGCUAUAAAAGAGUUCUUAUUGUUCUCGAUGAUGUGAACAGCCGGGAUCAACUCAAUGCAAUUCUUGGAAUGCGAGAAUGGCUUCAUCCAGGAAGUAAAAUUAUCAUAACAACUCGACAUGAACAUUUGUUAAAUGCUCAUGAAGUUUGUGAAAAGUUUAUGGUUCGAGAACUGGAUGAAGAUGAAUCACUUGAGCUUUUCAGUUGGCAUGCCUUCGGACAAUCCCAUCCGGUAGAAGGUUACAUGGAGCUUUCAAGACAUGUGGUGCAGCAUUGUGGAGGGCUUCCAUUAGCUAUUCAAGUUCUGGGAUCUUCUUUAUCUGGAAAAAGUGUAGAAGUAUGGCAAAGUGCAUUGCAGAAGUUAGACGUGAUCCCUAAUGACAAAAUUCAAAAAGUUCUGAGGAUAAGUUUUGAUUCUUUACACGAAGAUCAUGACCAAAAUUUAUUCCUUCAUAUAGCUAGCUUCUUCACAGGAAAGACGAUGGAUUAUAUAAUUACAAUACUGGACAACUUAGAGUUUUGCACAAGGGUUGGGAUUGAAAAUCUAGUUGAUAGAUGUCUAGUGACAAUUCAAGGGACGAAGUUGGUCAUGCAUCAAUUGUUGAGAAACAUGGCAAUGGCAAUUAUUCGCAAAGAAUCACCUCAUGACCCUGGAAAACGUAGUAGAGUGUUGCAGAACGAUGCCUCUAAUAUUUUGAGAAAAUUAAGUGUAAGAAAUGUGUUUUUCAUGCGUAUGUAUUUUUAGUUAUGAUUUGCAUGUGCAGUACUGGUUAUAUACUUACCCAAUGCUCUGAUUUUUUUGCAGGGCACAGAAAAUAUUAAGGGCCUCAUGCUCAACCUUGCUAGCAAAAGAACAUUUGUUGGAAGUGAUAACAAACGAUGCCAUGCUGAAGAUUAUGAUGGAAACUGUUCAAGACGACGUCGGCUUGGUUUCUUCUCUUGGAAGCCAGUUAGUUUUUCCUCCACAAACUCAGCUUCUGCAUCAAAUGAGAUAGAUUUCAAAUCUGAGGCUUUUAGAAGGAUGCACAAUCUUGAAAUUCUCAUGCUCAACAACGUCAACGUCAGGGGAAGCUACGAAGAAUUUUCAAAAAAAUUAGUAUGUUUAUCUUGGCGAGGAUUCCACUUAAAAUCAAUACCCGAAAAUUUUUGUUUGGAAAACCUGGUUGUUCUAGACAUGCGAAAUAGUAGCCUACAACAUGUUUGGAAUGAGACCAGGGUAUGUAAUUAUCUCUCUCUCUCUCUCUCUCUCACACACACACAAAAAUUAAUAGGGGCCAUUAUAUCUUCUUAGAAGCUAAUUAAUUUGUAUUAUUAUUGAAACAGGUUAUUCCGAGGCUGAAGAUUCUUAAUUUCAGUCAUUCGCAUGGCCUUAGGACAGUCCCCGAUUUCUCAGGACUCUAUAACCUUGAGAGGUUGAUUCUUAAACAUUGCAUAAAUUUGGUUGAGGUUCAUGAGUCCAUCGGAAACCUAGAAAAACUUGCUGUUUUGAAUCUAGAAGGCUGCAAAAAUCUCAUGAAGCUUCCAGUAUUGAGAUCUAUUCAGGAUCUUAUUCUUUCUGGUUGCUCAAAGCUUGAAAUGAAGAAACUCAAUCUGGUAUCAGCUAAAUCAUGGUAUUCAGUCUGGUCGUGGGUGUCGCCAAGAAAACAUACUGAAUUAAGCAGUUUCUCAUUGGCAAGUUUACCACGUUCUUUGAUAAGUUUAAGUCUGGAUUGCUGCAAUAUAUCAGAGAUUCCAAGUGCCCUAACUAUGCUGUCCUCGUUAGAGUACUUGAAGCUGGAUGAUAAUCCGAUUACAAGCCUACCAGAAAGCAUGAACAAUCUUGUUAAGCUCCAGAGUCUUAAAGUAUCUGGUUGCAGAAACCUCACAAUGCUUCCAGAGCUCCCACGUUCUUUGACAAGUUUAACACUGGCUUGCUGCAAUAUAUCAGAGAUUCCAAGUGCCCUAACUAUGCUGUCCUUAUUAGAGUACUUGGAUCUUGAUGGUAAUCCGAUUACAAGCCUACCAGAAAGCAUGAACAAUGUUGUUAAGCUCCAGACUCUUAAAGUAUCUGGUUGCAGAAACCUCACAAUACUUCCAGAGCUCCCACGUUCUUUGACAUGUUUAACACUGGCUUGCUGCAAUAUAUCAGAGAUUCCUAGUGCCCUAACUAUGCUGUCCUCAUUAGAGUACUUGGAUCUUGAUGGUAAUCCGAUUACAAGCCUACCAGAAAGCAUGAACAAUGUUGUUAAGCUCCAAACUCUUAAAGUAUCUGGUUGCAGAAACCUCACAAUACUUCCAGAGCUCCCACGUUCUUUGACAGGUUUAACACUGGCUUGCUGCAAUAUAUCAGAGAUUCCAAGUGCCCUAACUAUGCAGUCCUCAUUAGAGUACUUGGAUCUUGAUGGUAAUCCGAUUACAAGCCUACCAGAAAGCAUGAACAAUCUUGUUAAGCUCCAGACUCUUAAAGUAUCUGGUUGCAGAAACCUCACAAUACUUCCAGAGCUCCCACGUUCUUUGACAGGUUUAACACUGGCUUGCUGCAAUAUAUCAGAGAUUCCAAGUGCCCUAACUAUGCAGUCCUCAUUAGAGUACUUGGAUCUUGAUGGUAAUCGGAUUACAAGCCUACCAGAAAGCAUGAACAAUCUUGUUAAGCUCCAGACUCUUAAAGUAUCUGGUUGCAGAAACCUCACAAUACUUCCAGAGCUCCCACGUUCUUUGACAUGUUUAACACUGGCUUGCUGCAAUAUAUCAGAGAUUCCAAGUGCCCUAACUAUGCAGCCCUCAUUAGAGUACUUGGAUCUUGAUUGUAAUCCGAUUACAAGCCUACCAGAAAGCAUGAACAAUCUUGUUAAGCUCCAGACUCUUAAAGUAUCUGGUUGCAGAAACCUCACAAUACUUCCAGAGCUCCCAAGUUCUUUGACAUGUUUAACACUGGCUUGCUGCAAUAUAUCAGAGAUUCCAAGUGCCCUAACUAUGCUGUCCUCGUUGGAGUACUUGGAUCUUGAUGGUAAUCCGAUUACAAGCCUACCAGAAAGCAUGAACAAUCUUGUUAAGCUCCAGACUCUUAAAGUAUCUGGUUGCAGAAACCUCACAAUACUUCCAGAGCUCCCACGUUCUUUGACAUGUUUAACACUGGCUUGCUGCAAUAUAUCAGAGAUUCCAAGUGCCCUAACUAUGCUGUCCCUCGUUGGAGUACUUGGAUCUUGAUGGUAAUCCGAUUACAAGCCUACCAGAAAGCAUGAACAAUCUUGUUAAGCUCCAGACUCUUAAAGUAUCUGGUUGCAGAAACCUCACAAUACUUCCAGAGCUCCCAUGUUCUUUGACAAGUUUAACACUAGCUUGCUGCAAUAUAUCAGAGAUUCCAAGUGCCCUAACUAUGCUGUCCUCGUUGGAGAAGUUGGAUCUGAGUUGCAAUCCGAUUACAAGCCUACCAGAAAGCAUGAACAAUCUUGUUAAGCUCCAAACUCUUAAAGUAUCUGGUUGCAGAAACCUCACAAUACUUCCAGAGCUCCCACAUUCUUUGACAAGUUUAACACUGGCUUGCUGCAAUAUAUCAGAGAUUCCAAGUGCCCUAACUAUGCUGUCCUCGUUGGAGAAGUUGGAUCUGAGUUACAAUCCGAUUACAAGCCUACCAGAAAGCAUGAACAAUCUUGUUAAGCUCCAGACUCUUAAAGUAUCUGGUUGCAGAAACCUCACAAUACUUCCAGAGCUCCCACGUUCUUUGACAAGUUUAACACUGGCUUGCUGCAAUAUAUCAGAGAUUCCAAGUGCCCUAACUAUGCUGUCCUCAUUAGAGUACUUGGAUCUUGAUGGUAAUCUGAUUACAAGCCUACCAGAAAGCAUGAACAAUCUUGUUAAGCUCCAGACUCUUAAAGUAUCUGGUUGCAAAAACCUCACAAUGCUUCCAGAGCUCCCGCGUAGUUGAAACAAUUGUGUGAUCGUGGUUGCACAUCAUUGAAAAGAAUAACAAAUUAACCGAAGUUGGGCAUGUCACCGGGCUUAGAUUACCGGUUUUCUUGCAUAGUAAUGGACCCAAGGCUAUGGUAUUGUGGGAAACUUGUUGAUUUUAGAAGCUUGUUGGAUACACUAGCAUUGGACUUAUAUCUCUCAGAUCUAUUCGAUUUGGAACCCAAAGGUGGCAUUGAGGUCCAAGGGAACUAUUGUGAGAGUUUGGGCGUCAAGGUUCUCUCUCUCUCUCUCUCUCUCUCUCUCUCUCUCUCUCAUGUACAAAUGCUUAUAAUAUGGUGAAUAAGAUCUCUAUGGCGUAAACGAUUAGAUUGUAAUGACAACACCACCAUGAAACUGCAGGGAACUUUUCACUGCUGCAUAUUGAGCAUAUUUGUUCAUGGGAGCAAGAUUCCAGAUCGGUUCAAUUACAGGAGCAUGGGUAACACUGUGUUCUCUAUUAUUGUUCCUUCACAUCUAAGGGGGGUGUAUUCAAUUAGGAUUUUGAGAGAGUCUCUAGGAAUUAAUGAUUCCAGGUGUAUUCAAUUGGGAAUUUAAAAGACUUUAUAAAAGUCUUGGUGUAUUCAAUUGAGAUUCUUAAAGACUUCUUACAAUUCCCUAUAAAUUCAGGUGUAUUCAAUCAUAACUUUUUGAAAGUCUCUAAAAGUUUAGGUAUAUUGAGAAAGGAAUUGGAUUUGAACGGAUUUGUGAUUUGGUGGAUUUUGGAGGAUUUCAAGGUGAUAUGUAUACCAAAGAGCUUGGCAAAUCUCACCUCAACCCUAGAAACUUUGAGACAUGUUGAGCGUGCUGCUCUCUCCUCCAGAGAGCGUCUUCUCCUCCCCAGAAACAUGGGCUCCAAGGUAAAAAAUUUCUCACCUUGUACAUGCUAUCUUUUUUUCUCCCCUUCAAGCUUCAUGAUUUUCUUGUUUUGAUAGUGUUGUUCUAGGGUUAGGGUUUUUCUGGUUACUUUGGAGUUAAGGUUUUUCUUGUUAGGGUUAGGGUUUUUCUGACCAUCAAACUUUGUGAAAUUUUUAUAUAUAUAUUGUGAAGAUACAAGUAUUGAUUUUACCGUUUGGAUCCAAAAGUUGUUGAGUUUCUGCUUUGAUUACUUUGGAAUACAGUAUAGAUUGGGUUAGGGUUUGGAAUUCUCAAGUUUGUAUAGGUUGUUUUCCUUUUCCAUCCCGUAAUCAGUGGAGCACUGAUCCUUUUCUUUUCAACUGCAACAUUCUUGCAACCUCAUUCUUUUUCUUUUCAUCUUAAUAAAAAAUUUAUUUCAUGCCUCAAAGUUUUUUUUUUUAGUCGAAACAUGGUAGGGUGAAGUUGUUUCCUUGAUUUUUCAACCUUUGUAUCUAGUCUAUUCCUGAUCAGCCUGUAAUAGGGCUCGUACUUCUUGGCAUUCUUUACGGUAUCAUAAAUCAAAUCAAAACCAAUGGAUUUCCCCCUCCAAAAUGGGUGCAGAACUUGAAUAUGAAGAUGGAAUUUGGGUCCCUCACCUCUGAAAACGUUGUCUAUACAAAUAAUUUGUCACUCCAAAAGUUGUUGAGUUUCUGCUUUCUCUAUUCUUUUAAAAUGUUUUUUGCUCACUUAUACGAAUUAGCUGUGAAUAAAGAAUCCAUGUGAUCAUAUACACAAACUAAUUACGUUUAUUAUCUUAUUAUAGGGAGUUCAUUUGGAGUUGCAAGGAAGUGAUUUCAGAGGUGAGGCAUUUAUGUCCAAUAUUCUUCUGAACUAUCGUCCUAAUAUUUAGAACUCACCUUGAUAUGUAAAUGUAUGACUGGAACGAAUUUAUGACUCCAAACUGUAUUAGCUGCUUGUAACUUUGAUUUGGAAUUCAUAUAUAUUCUUAGUUGAUGGGAGGGUUCAGCUCAUGACUCCAAACUGUUACAUGAUGUUGUAUCAAGGAAGAACAGACUUAAAGUUCCAGAAGGUUCGUAUUCAUUCAUUUAUUUACACUAGGACGUACCAUAAAUAAUAACUUUAUGUGUUUUAUUUUUAGGUAAAUUUUUUCUAGUGGAUUGUGGAUUUGCAAAUCGUCGUCAAAUUUUAGCUCUGUUUUGAGGUGUUCGAUAUCAUCUCCAAGAUUUUGCUGGUAACGAUCGUGACCCCGUAAAUGCAAAUGAGUUGUUCAAUCUUCGACAUGCUUCCUUGAGAAACAUAGUGGAGAGGAUAUUUGGUGUAUUUAAAUCUCGAUUCAUAGUUUUUAAGUCUGCACCUCCAUUUCCAAUGAAAACACAAGCAGAGUUAGUGUUAGCUUGUGCAGGAUUGCACAACUUUCUUCGCAAAGAGUGUCGUUCUGAUGAAUUUCCAAUCAAACAAGAAGAUGAUGAAUUUGAAAAUGAUGAUGAACUAGGUAAUCAAACUCAAGAGCAACGGCGACAGAUUGCUAAUGCAUGGAGAGCUAGCAUAGCUACAAAUAUGUGGACAGAUGCUAUGAGUGAGAGCAUUCAAAGAUGACAAAUAUAAUUAAUUGUUUUUACGGAUUGGAGUAUGCAAUUUGUGUUUGAAAAACUUUGAUAGUUAGUAUUUUGUAAGCCUUAACUUUCAAGAUUUUGGAUGCCAAUGUUUAAUUCACUUUGAUAGCUACUUGAAAACAUUGCAUGUGAACUUGGUAUUGGGAUUUGGUAUUAGUAGGAUGAAACUGAUUUUGGCUUGUAAAGGGAAGGAAAAUGUUGAUCAAAUUCUCUAAAAUUCUCUAACCCCAUGUAAAGAAUUCUCUCAUAAUUCAUGUGAAUUCUCUGGAAGUUAUAAUUAAUUCACUCAAAAUCUCUGGGAAUUCAUUUUUUUUUCCUCUCAAACUCUCUCAGAUUCCAUAGAUUUAAAUUCCUGGAGACUCUCAAAAUCCUAAUUGAAUACACUCCCCUCUCAAGAUCGUAGGUUUAAACGCAUGUAUAUUAUAUGCACAGCAGUCGGAUUGCCUUGAGGUUGCACGUGACCAUGAUGACCAUUCGCUAGAACUUAGGAAUGAGACAAAGGGCCUUAAGUGGAACUGCCACUUGUGGGAUGAGGUUGAAUGGAAAGUGAUGAACGAAGAUAUGUUAUGGCUUAGCCGUUGGAUCAUGGGGGAACAAUGAGUUGGAAUGCGGGGAAAGAGUGUGUCUUGCAAUCAAAGAGGACUAUGGUUUGCUCACAAAGGAGAUUGGAGUCCAGUUUGUGUACGAGCAGCAAAAUAAGGAUAAGGAGGAUGUCCCAUCAAGUGGUGAAGAUACAACGAUCCAACGUGAAAGAUCUACUUGGGAGUGGAGCCAAAGUUUCCUUGAAACCACAAGAUCCCGUGUUCCGGGGGGUGUAGAGACGGGGGUUCAAUGCAUCCAUAGCUGCGAUAAGAAAGUAAUUUCAACUGUCACGUGCGCGGCUGAAUACUAUUUCUGUAACAUUGACAGUGACAGGAUCCAUCUUCCGAGAGGCUCUGAGGCAGUGGGUCGUAGGUUUUCGGACUUUAGCCAAAAUUGUCGCCUUUUUAGCCAAAAUAACCCAGUUUAAUUGAUGUUGGUGAUGCCCAAAUCACUAGAUUCAAAUGUGUAUUGGUUGUUACGCUUUCGUUUCUAUCUAUUUUCUGUUUCCUCCUAAAAAAUUGUUUUCAAGAAUUUAAUAAAAUUUCAUAUUAAACAAGUUCUUGCCUGGAUAAGAGUAUGAACUAGCAAAAAUGCCCGCGCUCCGCUGCAGGGACUUUUAGAAGUAUGAUCUUGUACAAUCUGAUUUCUUUUGCUAUUCCUAGUUCUUUUUGGCAUCAUGUGCAAAACCAAAUUGAUGGCUAGGAAGAAAAAAUGAAAACACCUGCAUAAAUUAAAUUUUCCAUCACCCCUACAUUAUAAUUAAAUAAAGCAAAUACACAAUAAUCAUCUCACAAUUACAGAAGCAAGGACUAUUAAAUGCCACAAUUAUUUAACAACUACUAUGCAUAAUUCUUAAAAAAUGAGUAUAAAAUUAACCUCUUUUGAAAAACGAAGGAAGAAAGAUGAAAGCUUAUAACUAUGUUGGACUCAAUUAUUUGACAUUAAUUACACAAACCCAAUUCCAUAUAUAUAGCCAGACAAGCUUUAUCCUAGAGAGAAACCAUGCCCAAAUGAUUAUAUAAUCUCUAUACUGUGAAUUCAGAGACUAAAUUUCAUAACUUUGCCAAGCAUUACAGGAACCAUGGAAAGAAUAAAAAUGACCACAAAGAUUGCAAAACAAUUAACCACAGGUGGUGUUUAUAUGCCCACUGAGAGAAAAAAGCUUCUGCAAGUCAAAAAACGUAUUUAUAUAAAACAGGCCUGUACCAUUUGAAAGAGCCUCUUGUAUCCAUUCCAAUUAUACUCAUGUCUACCAUAUCCCUCUACAAUUCCACACCACCAAUCAACCAUAACUGAUUUCAAUACCCUUAGCUGCUUUAGUGGACCAUCUAGUGACACCUAACUGCCACCAAAAUAAAAGACAUGAUCAAGACCAUACAGAUUACAGACUAAGAUUAAAAACAAUUGUUAUCUAUUAAGCAAAACUCGAACUCCUUGACAUGGCAACCUCUUAAUCCAGGAUGUAGAGUAGAAAAACAAAAUUAUUGAAAAACCGAAAAAUAACAAUUUAACUUGCAUAGUAAACGAAUAUUAGUAAAGUUACAGAACUCAAUGGACUACAUAUACCAGUAAAAAAGCGAAACAUCAGUGUUUGGGAAGUUACCUUAUUUGAAAUGUCAGGAGCAUUUGGUGUACAUACAGGGUAGACAGUCCUUGCAAAAUUCAGGGCUUCAAAAUAAAAUAAAAAAUAAAUUCAAAACUAUUAAUCCUAACACCUGUUCAGUAAAGGAUAAAACAAUCUUUCCAUCAAACAAAUUUGAGAAACAAAAAAAGGGAACUAAAUUUAAGUUGAAUAGAGGUGACAAUUGCUUACCUAGAAAUCCAAACGAAAUCCCCCAAAAUUCACGCCCCCAAAACCCUACAAAACACUAGAGUUGAAAACCAGCGCUACACUGGGAUCAUCCACACAGCGACGAACUCCGAUCAUUGUCACCGAUCUCCAUCUCCUUCCAAAGCCAAAACCCUUUUAAGAAAAAGAGGGUAAUGAAUAUGAUAAAGCCAGUAAUGAAUUUUUUUUUGAAAAGAAACGAAAGAAUUUUAUAAAACGAAAGAAUUACAAAAGAGAAACAGUAAACCACGUGGAAAAGAAAUCCACCUGGAGCUAGAAGAAAACUAGCAAGGGCCCCUAACUAAAACUAAAUGAACAGAGGAAAAGCUAGACCAAAUCAAAUAACGGCAGCUAACAAAUCCCUAAAAAUAGAAGAGAAAUUGUAAUCUCUAAACUCCACUGAAACCGAAGCCCAAAGGGCUGCCCAGUGUUUUACUCUAUCCCAAAGCUCCUCAACCCCCACUCCCUUGUAAUCCUCAAAGACUCUUUUAUUACGCUCCAACCAAAUGUUCCAGAAGAGGGCCAACAACAGAGAUCCCCACAAAGUUUUGGCUUUCCUCCCUUUCCCUAGGCCUUCGAACUUAGUGCUUAGGAGCUCAAAACAGCCCUUUGGAGUGACCCAACUUGCUCCAGCUUCCUUGAGCAAAUUCCACCAAAUUUGAAUGCUAUACGGACAGUGGAGGAAAACAUGGUUGACGCUUUCCUCCCCGGAUUUGCACAAAGCGCACCAUUGGGGGGAGAAACAUGCAAAAGGCAUUCGUCUUUGGACUUGUUCACAAGUAUUAACCUUCCCGAGCGCCAAUAGCCACACAAGGAUUUUGACUUUUGGAGGCACUUUUGCUUUCCAAAUCUGAACGAAAGGGGGAAAUUGUUGCACAACUUCAUUGUUGCAAAGGAAAGAGUUAUAGGAUUUGCAAGUGAACUGGCCAGAACCUUCUAAAUUCCAUCUUCUCCUGUCUUCUCUAGAAUGACACAGCCGUACGGACUCCACCUUCUGCACUAAACCAGCCACAUCUUCAAUCUCCGACUCUCUUAGGUUUCUCCUAAAAUCGAAAUUCCAACUGACCGGCUGUAAAGAAGAAACCACCAAAUUGGAAUACUUUGGUUUUUUGUCCUUGCUAAAGAAAAUAAUCUAGGGAAUUGCUCCUUCAACGGUCCGCCCUCCAACCAACCGUCCUCCCAGAAUCUCAGCCUCUCUCCGUUACCAACCUCGAAGAUGCAUGAGUGAAGAAAUGAAGGGUAACCAGCUGAGAUGUCUGUCCAGGGACGCCUGCUCGAGCCUCGACUCGGACAAUUAGCAUCCCAACCAUUUGCCACCAGACCGUACUUGCUCUUUAUCACCCUAUGCCAAAGAGAGUUUGAUUCGCGCGGGAAUCUCCACAGCCACUUGGCUAAUAAGGCGGCAUUCCGAUUUCUCAAAUUUCCCAGACCAAGGCCACCUUCCUCCUUGCUUUUACACACUUUCUCCCACUUGACCAAGUGAAACUUCUUUCCUUCCUCAACCCCUUCCCAAAGGAACCCUUUCAUUAGCUUUUCCAAUCUCCCAAUGACCCCUCGUGGGGCUUUGAACAGGGACAUGUAGUAUAUGGGCAAGGAUCCUAGGACAGCUUGGAUCAAUGUUAAUCUUCCGCCUCUAGAUAAAAAAGCUUUAUUCCAACCCUGAAGUCUCAAUUCCACCUUCUCUACCACCGGGUCCCAGAACUUAAUAGAUUUUGGCUUGCCUCCGAGGGGAAGACCCAGGUAUUUCAUUGGCCAACUGCCCACCUCACAGCCCCAAGAACUUGCUAGCCUUGUAAUUUUCUCGCCAUUAGAAUUAAUUCCCACCAAGGAACACUUUGCUUUGUUAAUCUUCAAACCUGAAACCUUGCCAAAAAUUUGCAGCAAAUGUAAUAAAUUGUUCCAAGCCUCCUCAUGCCCUUCCAAGAAAAAAAUUGUGUCAUCCGCAGAUUGAAGAUGAGAGAUCUCCACGUUAUCUUGCCCAACACGCAGCCCUUUGAUCAAAUGAUUAUCUUGAGCCUUCUCAAUUAAUCUGCUCAGCACGUCUACAACUAGGGUGAACAAGAACGGAGACAGAGGGUCACCUUGUCUCAGUCCUCUUGAAGCUUUGAAUUUUCCCCUAGGUCUCCCAUUGAUCAGAACUGAGAAAGUAGCCGUGCAUAUGCAACCAAGCACCCAUUUUCUCCAUCUAAACCCGAAUCCCUUUCUCAGUAAUACUUCUUCCAAGAAUCUCCAAUCGACGUGGUCAUAAGCUUUUUCGAAAUCAAUCUUAAGAACCAAACCCUCCUCCUUCUUCUGCCUCACCUCUUCGACCACCUCGUUUGCUACGAGGACAGCGUCCAGAAUUUGUCUGUCUUUAACAAAAGCUCCUUGAGAUGGGGAAAUUGUACUGCCCAUGACAUUCUUUAGUCUUGUAGCAAGGACUUUCGCCACUACCUUGUAAAGACUGGUAACUAAGCUUAUAGGCCUAUAGUCCCUCAAGUGCACAGAAUCUGCCUUUUUCGGGAUUAGGCAUAUAUAAGUUUCAUUUGUUACUGUGUUUAUAAUCCCAUUUUCGAAGAAUUCUUCCAACACCUUCAUGAUAUCCGCCUUCAAAAUAUCCCAACAACUUUGGAACAUUUGCAAAGAGAAGCCAUCUGGGCCAGGGGACUUAUCAUUCCCACCAUCGAAAACGGCUUUUUUAACUUCGGCUUCCUCGAACGGCCGUUCAAGCCAAGCUGCCUCGGUGGCAUUAAUUGGACCCCAAUUAAUACCAUCCAGCCCCCAGCACUCCUCUUCGUUGCUACUGUACAGAGACUUGAAAAAAUGAAUGAUUUCAUUUUCAAUCUCCUCUACCCCUUCUACCAUUCUACCAUCUUCCACUUCCAAUCUCUCUAUAAAAUUUCUCUUCCUUCUCCCACUUGCUACCUUAUGGAAAAAUCUAGUGUUGCCAUCCCCGUCUUUGGCCCAAUCCACUUUGCUUCUCUGCCUCCACUUUACUUCUUCCUUCCAAGCCAGAUCUUCCACUAGGAAUCGGGUCUCUUCCCUCUUUCUUUUUGAAUCCGAGUCUAGACCUUCCCUUCCUUCUUUAAAGUCAAUUUCCUCUAAUUUGGCAUGGGCUUCCUUAAGAUUUCUCUCAAUGUCUCCGAAGACCUCCUUGCUCCAAGAUUGCAACUUCUUUUUAAUAAUUUAACUUACUGGAAAAUUUGUAUCCCUCCCAACCUUCGACUAUCGCAGAAAACCACCACUCUUUGAGAUUGUUUCUAAAAUCCGGAUGAUGUAGCCAAGAAUUCUCGAACCUAAAAGGGCCUGGCCCCCACGUCACCUUGUUGGUAUCUAAUUCGAUUGGGCAAUGAUCAGAGGUUACCCUUGCCAGAGCCUUUUGCCUUGCAUGUGGAAACGACUCCUCCCAACCACCAGAGAAUAAGAAUCUGUCUAAUCUUCAGCAAACUGUUUCUUCUCGAAAAUUAGACCAAGUGAACUGAGCGUUGAGCAGAUCUGGGUCAAUGAGUUCGGAGUCCUGGAUAAACUGGUUAAAAAUCCUCAUACUUGCAGUGGACCUUCCCCCAUUAGACUUCUCGUUUUCGAACCUCACCACAUUAAAAUCUCCCCCCACACACCAUCUUGGACUGCAAAGACCAUAAAGGCCAGCUAGUUCUUCCCAGAAAUCUUGUCUCUCCCUAUAUUUGCAAGGGCCAUAGACCCCUGAGAGCCACCAUUCCAAACCAUUCAACUCUCUAAUUUUGAUGGAAACUGAGAACACUCCUACUAGAGACUCGACAACUGAGAUAUGUUUAGUGUUCCACAUUACAACAAUGCCCCCAGAACUUCCUUGAGCAGGGGCGAAAACCCAUUCUUUAAAUCUGCUUCCCCACACACUUGCCACUAGCUUUCUAUCAAUUGUGGCCGUUUUUGUUUCUUGUAAAAUGAUGAUAUCAGCCCGUGCUCGGCGGAAGUAGUCCUUCAAAAGCACCCUUUUCCUUCUGCUACCCAAACCUCUAAUAUUCCAGCUAAUUAUCUUCAUUUAAAUUUAUCAAACCCCUUUUGCUCUUCCUUUUCUCUCCUCUUCCCACCCGCACCCCUGAGCUUUUACCAAGGAAUAAGGAUUUUUUUAGUGGCAUCAGCGAAAUCUUCAUGUUUGACAAAAAUUCGCUAGAUCGUCCAGUAGCCUCCCAUUUGUCAGAGACUCGGCCGGACCUUUUCCUUCUGCUAUAUUUAAGCACGUUGUUGUUGUCGUCAUUUUCCUUGGUUUGAUUUUGUUCGACUACCUCAAGAUCUUGUCUGUAAUCCCGUAGGGUACCCUCCUCUUCAGUUGCCGAAAUCAUUUCCUUGUCUCCAUCGGAGAAUAGAUUCUGCAGUAUACCUUCACCACUGUCAAUUGGAUCGAAAUUAGCCUUCUCAUCUUGGGGCGAAUCCCCGAGCUCAACUUCUGAUUCAGAACCCUGAGACCAAUCAUCUUCCUCAGCAAGGUAAUCGAAAUCCAGAGUUGGAAAAAAGUUUCUUGAGGAAAUAUUGCCGCUGACCGGUUCCAUCCUCUGUGCGGCAGAUGUUACACAAAGAGGAUUGUGACCCAUUAACUCCUCCAUCUCUUCGUCCUGAUCCGAAUCGUCAUCUAGGGAUAGAAGAUUAGAAGCACCGAUUUUCUUUGGCGUUUCUUCCUCGUUGAGGUUCAGCCUCGAUCCGAACUCUUUUGGAAGAACAAGUUUAAACCUUUUCUCUGCAUUGGCUAAGUCUCCGAAUUUCGCAAUAAAUUUCAGAUUGCUGCAAAUUAUAGUGGCUUCGAUUCCCUUCUCGUGGGCACGAAAGGUGCUUCUUUCUGAUGCCAUCUGGACUGUGUGAAACAGAUCUACAAACUGAAAAUUUGGCAUCACCAUUACUUCUUUUCCGUGAUGGAAUAACCCAAUUUCUAUCGCCAAUCACCCUUGCUGAGUGAUGAUUCACACACUUCCUCAUACUUGUUUAUGGGUACCUAUCCAACAAAAUUUUGACUUAGUACCCAAAAACUGUAUCAGCUCACGAACAGAUCAAAUUCAAAGCAGAACCCACAUAUUCUGAAGAUUCUAGAGUUAAAAGAGGAGCAAGGAGGUUCGGUUACGGAAUCCAAAACGCCAUUUUAAUGAGCAAAUGAAUACCUAAACUGGGGUUAACAAUUUUCAGCAAUAAAAAACAUGUCUUUCGAUCGAAGUUGCAUAUAUUACAGAACUUUGGGAUUAAGGAGGAACAAAAAGCCCAAUUCCAAUCAAGAAAAAUAAAAAAAAUUGUAUGUAAAUUUAAGCUUUACCUGUAGAUUGGCAGCAGCAAAAGCAUACUGGAUCCAACGGGAGCCACGUGAGAGAACUGGAUGCCCAGCCUUUGACACGUUAUCAAGUGAGUUUAGGGAUCUGGGUUUUGUGCUUGCCGUUGAAUUUUGGAACGAUCCGGAGAAAUUUGGGUUUUAUGGUUCUAAGGGUUUGAGUGAACCGAAAUUGAUUUGGAUGAGCAACUUUUGGUUUCGAUUCGCGGUGGAGCAAGGAUGAAGAGGUGGAGGAGGAAGGAAUGAAGGGGUGAGAAAAUUUGGAUAGGCAGUAUUCGGUUUCGAUUCGAAGUAGAGCAAGAAUAAAGCUCUUGGAAUUCUUUGAACCACUCUAUGAAUAGUAUGACCUGUGAGUGAUUGAUUGUGUAACAAAAAUUAGUAAAAGAGAGUAAGAGUUAUAUAUGAAACUAUAUCAUUGGAACCACUUUGUGAGAAGUUGUAGUACUAUGGUAUACUCACUAUGGUAUACUCACUUUGUCCUUCGGAUGAUUGAACUUGCACAUCGUACAAAUUUGCAUCUUUGAGUCUUCAUAAAGUACUGCAACAUGCAAAUGGAAAAUGAUCAAUUAACAGUUCAAGUGCUUAAAUGCAUUAUUUCUGCAAAAAGAAUAAACAAUUGAAGUGCUACUUACAGGACAAUCUGGUGCUCCAGGUCUCUCGGGAAGGACUUCAGUUGAGCAACGCCAAAGCACAAAUUCAAUGGAAAGAACCAAUGCAAUUUACUUGUGAUGUUAAGUUGAACAUCCGAUGCCUUGGAGAAAUUAUUGAGCAUCAAAUGAUAAAGCAAUCAGAUUAUAGUAAAUUACUAAAUGAUAUUUACAAAAAUAAAAAACAUCAAGUUAAGAGAACAAUGAAAAACUUAAGAAUUAGCCUUAGCAAAGUUAAGAGAACUUAAUGGUAAAAACAAAAAGCUAGCACUUACUCAGUCGCAUUACCUAGACGCUCUGCUAAAGGUACGGUGCCCACUAAGCUGAAGAAGAAGACCCAUCCCUAACAUAUACAAAGUAAUUGUCAAUGGAUUAGGGGUGAAGUCAAUCUAAAUUAUUGAAAGGAUGUGCAAAAAAGAAACCAUGUUGGACACAUUCUUACACAGAACAAGAAAAAAACUUAAAAACAUACACUUAAAAAGUAAAAAACAGGUAUGAAUAUUAAGUGAACCAAAAGCAGAACAAACCCCUAAAAGUGCUUCAGUUCAGGUGGGUUUUCUAGUAUUUUAUCAAUAAUAUCAGAUCAACAAAACCCUUGAUGCAAAUCCAAUCCGAUAUUGAAAACAGAUGAAUAUAAGAGAGGGAAAAAAACACUUUUAUUGGGCCUCAUAUUUACUGCGGCACAGAAUCCACUAUUCUCCAUAGCAAAAGGAAAAUACCGUAUUCUCAGCUUCAAUUUCUUGGAAAUUAAAUAAGGCAUUCACCAGCAUUCCCGCAUAGAAAUCACAUAAAGUGUAUGACCGAUUCACGAAAUUUCAAUUCAAUCUAACUAUCAAUCUAUAAGUGUGAAAUGACUGAUUCGUAUACAUACAUUAUUCAUUUAACCAAAUCUAAAUGGCUGUAUUGUAUAUAUGGCAGUUAACACACGUAUACGAAAGUGAAUGCACAAACAUACAUAACUGAACACAUUUGAACAUUUGAGUAGGAGGGAAUGUAUAAAAUUUGAUGCAUAUAAACAUAUGUACCAAGUAACAAACCAAUCCAUAGUUUCCCUCUUCAAAUAACAAAAUCCACAGAAACCCAGCAUUGAAAAUUCAAGGACACUCAAAAGAACUGUAAACGAAACCGAAAUGCCCAAAUCUCACUGAAGAAAAAGGAAAGAUUCCAAGAUUACACAAAACCCAAAAUAACACAAACAAAUCUCAAAGCAUUUCUCAAAAGGACAUAUUACAAUCAAAGAAAGUGAAAACUCUAAUAAAUUAGCUUAGAGAAUAAAUUACCUAGCAGAGAAGCCCAUUUUUUGGGAGCAGUUUAGCCACAUGCAUGUACCAACAUUGAAAACAAACAAAAAGUUCAUAAAAAAUGAAGAAGAAUCGAAAGAAAACGAAGCAGAAAGGAGCAUACCUGUACUCGUAGAUAUCAUCAAAGUACUUCUCGAAGUACCGGAUCUGACCCUGCUAUUUAAUCCCAAACCACGAUUUCAAGCAAAAUCUCGAACAGGGGUUUUCAAAUUUCUCAGCUUAAUCUGCGAAAUAAAGACUGUUUUCAAGAAAUUAAACAUAUUAUAUGUGCACUGCACACACUUGCGAACCGGCUUACUUAACUAAUAUUUUUCUAGGUCAAAUUUUAAUUAUUUGAUUCCUUGUAUCGAUAAUAUUAGAUGUAAAUACAUGCAUGUUUAUGGAAUUCAAUGAGAAAAACCAUAUACCUCAGUUUUUUCAGAUGAUCAGUCACCCUCCCCCCUAGUCCCUUGAACGUUAAAAUUCUCAUGAGCUUGCUUGUUCCAUGUCGUGCCUUACUCCCAUUCGGAUCCUUCUCUUUCUCCUAGUUGGAGAGACUGAUUCAAGCAAAAUCAAACAUUCAGACAACACAUCUCUCACUUGAUUGAUUGGUACCAAACGAAGGCCAUUGAUACUUAUUUGUAAUUUAAUUAAUAAAAAAAAUUAAACGCUUCAUAAAAUUAUACAAAAAAUUCCAGAAAUUUACGAAAAUAGAGAAAGAGGUUGUACAAAACCUACACAAAAAUUACUAAAUUCCAGAUAAAAUCAUACAAAAAAAAUCCAGAAAUUUAACGAAGAUAGAGAAAGAGGAAAAACCAAAUAUUUCAGCCCAGAUCCUUGAAGUUCUCGAGGACUUUGGACUUUGCCGGGUUGGAGAGAUAGUUUCUCGGAUCAGAAAGUAGGUGGCGUGGCCGGCCUUGGCGCUGGCCUCGACGAUAAACUUUCCGGUGCUGCCGAUGAAGAGGAUUUUGGGCUUGGUUACCAUCAGGAAUGGGAUUGGGGGGAAUCAGAAUGGGAUGUGUUGGAGAGAGAGAGAGAGAGAGAGAGAGAGAGAUUCAAAGUGGUGCAUGAAAGAAGAGGUGGAGAGUCGGUGAGGAGGAGAUUGAGCUCCUUCUGCAGUCGGCAAUCCCAGAGGAAAUCGAAAUGAAAGCACGCGGGAAUGGAGAGUUCGAGAGACAUCCACCAUCAAUAAGUGGAUAAAACACAGGCACAUAUGAAAUAACAAAAAAUAAGAGAGGGCAAAAAAGGAAAAACACUGUAGAAGUAACAGUGUUUUGAGUCCGCUAGGACACCAUGGGAAUUAACCUGAAAGUUACUUUUUUAGUAUAUACUAGCAAAGGCGCCCAAGCGUUGCUGCGGGGUUGAAAAUUGUAUAACACAUGUAGAAGUUCUAAAAUAUAUAUAUAUAUAUAUAUAUAUAUAUAUAUAUACAGUAAAUAAUACAGUUUACAUACAUUUGCAAAUUUAUUUACUACUCUAUCAACAAUAAGGAACAAAAUAAGUGUCCUGGGACGGAAUGAAGCCUAUGGUCAUAAAUUGUCAAAUUUCAUACAUGUCAAACUUCAUUUAAGAAACUGAAAAACUAUAAAGAAUAAAGUGAUAAACAUAUAGAGCCAAUUCACAAUAGGAAACCGUUGCUUCACUAAAUAAGCAGUACCAACAAAAUAAUGCUUUUUUUGCUGCAAAAGAUUAGAAAAAGGGAAACAAAAUAUUUAUUUCUAUUUUAUAUUAUGCGGAAAAAAACUUGGAAGAAGAAGCAAUAGUGAAAAGAUCAUAUUUAUUUCAAUUUUUUAGGCAGAGAAAAAUAAAACAAAAUACCCAUUUCAAUAAACAACCUAAAACCCAUUUCACGUUUGUGGGUUUCGAUAUUGCACAAUUAUAUAUGGGAAACAAAUGGCUGUUAAAAGAUUCCUAAAAAAAUUUCUACUCGUUUUCGUACAGUUUUUCUAGAGCCAAAUAGAAACCAACAAUGAAGACACAUUAUGAGAAAGUAUUGAUGAAAACACAGUGUACACAUACCUCCUUAAACCUUUCCUCCUUUUGCUUAGCCUGCAAUUGGAAUAGAUUAUGACUUAGGCAUAAACUCAGAAAUCGGUAAAGAAUGAAACCCAAAAGUAAAUUGCAGUUUCUUAUUAUCAUUUCUCUUAGAAAAGACUAACAAAAUUGUUUCUUAAAAAUUUAAAAUAACAAUAUGUAUAUAAGCAGGAUUGUGCUUAAUUUUCUCUAAUUAAAGAAAUGGUUUGCGCAAUUUAGAACCUAAUAUAACAAAAGCAUACAACAACAACAAAAGCCUUUUCCCACUAAGUGGGGUCGGCUAUAUGAAUCCUAGAACGCCAUUGCGCUCGGUUUUGUGUCAUGUCCUCCGUUAGAUCCAAGUACUCAAGUCUUUUCUUAGGGUCUCUUCCAAAGUUUUCCUAGGUCUUCCUCUACCCCUUCGGCCCUGAACCUCUGCCCCGUAGUCACAUUUUCGAACCGGAGCGUCAGUAGGCCUUCUUUGCACAUGUCCAAACCAUCGGAACCGAUUUUCUCUCAUAUUUCCUUCAAUUUUCGCUACUCCUACUUUACCUCGGAUAUCCUCAUUCCCAAUCUUAUCCUUUCUCGUGUGCCCAUACAUCCCAGAAGCAUCCUCAUCUCUCCGCUACACACCCAUUUUGUGUACGUGUUGAUGCUUCACCGCCCAACAUUCUGUGCCAUACAACAUCGCUGGCCUUAUUGUCGUCCUAUAAAAUUUUCCCUUGAGCUUCAGUGGCCUACGACGGUCACACAACACGCCGGAUGCACUCUUACACUUCAUCCAUCCAGCUUGUAUUCUAUGGUUGAGAUCUCCAUCUAAUUCUCCGUUCUCUUGCAAGAUAGAUCCUAGGUAGCGAAAACGGUCACUUUUUGUGAUCUUCGCUAGAUUGCUCCGGUCAUUAGUGUGAAUAAGUAUAUAAAUGGAUAGAGAUAGGAAAGCAAACACAAGAUGUACGUGGUUCACCCAGAUUGGCUACGUCCACGGAAUAGAGGAGUUCUCAUUAAUUGUGAAGGGUUUACACAAGUACAUAGGUUCAAGCUCUCCUUUAGUGAGUACAAGUGAAUGAUUUAGUACAAAUGACAUUAGGAAAUAUUGUGGGAGAAAGAUCUCGUAACCACGAAACUUCUAAGUACCGGAGUGUGGUAUCGUCUUGACUUGCCUUAUCUGUCUCAUAGGUAGAUGUGGCAUUCUCUGGAAGUACUCUUCCUCCAUCCAGGGGUGGUAUCUGUAACUGGUGGAGAUGCACAAGGUAAUGUAUCAAUUUCACUUGAAGCUUACUUGUAGUUUCAGGCUUGGUCAAGCGCGAUACAAACCAUGUAGUAGGAGUCCCCCAAGUCGCCGGGCUAGGGGAUCUGCUGAAAGAGGUGACAGACAAGGUAAGCAAUCAGAGCCUGCAGUGCCUUUUGGAAGCUUAGUCCUAUUUCGAAAAUCUACAAAGAGAACAAUUGUGAACCCAAAUUAAAGCUUUUUCUCUCACUCAAAAGAAAAAUAGAAACUCUAUACAACAACAACAACAACAACAACAACAAAGCCUUUUCCCACUAAGUGGGGUCGGCUAUAUGAAUCCUAGAACGCCAUUGCGCUCGGUUUUGUGUGAGAUUGUGCAUAAUCAAAAGGCUUGAAAACAAUUGAGAUUGUGCAUAUAGAAACUCUAUAUGGAAAAAAAAUUGAAAUUGUGCAUAAUCAAAAGUGGAUCAAAACUCUAAAUAGAUUAUCUUAACGCGUAGGAGAUCAUUGUUAGAAUUUGAAAACAAUUGAAACUUCAUUUUAAACACAAACUUAAUCAAUUGAUUUAUAUUUAAAUGGAAAGAAAGUAGCGGUCAAUUUUACCUAUCUUUUGUUUAGUGUAGCUCCAUUUCUAUCUUUGAUUAAAAGCUUGAAUUUUGACUUUUCUGGACAUUCUAGUGAACUUUGCCAAUAAAAGUUCAAAUUCUGAAACAAAAAAGUGAGUGGCGAACCUGAAAAAGUUCAAAUGACUUUGCCAAUAAAAGUUUUGAAGCAAUUCAUUUUUAGGAACAAAAAUCUGAAAGAGAACACAUGAAAGGGAAACCAACUUUAAAUUUCAUACUAUUUGGCAAAAAAGUGAGUGGCGAACCUGAAAAAGUUCAAAUGACUUUGCCAAUAAAAGUUUUGAAGCAAUUCAUUUUUAGGAACAAAAAUCUGAAAGAGAACACAUGAAAGGGAAACCAACUUUAAAUUUCAUACUAUUUGGCCCACACCUAACCCAUUCAAAAUGCACUGAAGAAACAAAGGUCAGGACUAUAGAACACGACAUGAACUUUUUCAAGUAUAUACGACAUGAACUUUUUCAAGUAUAUAGAAGUUUCGGUAGAUGUCUACUCAGCAGAACACAGAAGUAUGCAUAAUAAGAGAAAUUCCUUAUGCAAUUAGAAACAAUUUCAAAUGAGAAGCUCACUCUGGAGACUGAAAGUUGACCCCUUAACGUGCUCAAGUUCUCCACCAUUUUAACUUUUUCUUUCUCCACGCAUUUAAAUUCUUUCUCAACUUUUAAGAAGCCAUUGUGCAGUUUACUAUUGUAUUGUUGCAAGCUUGCCCUGCUCAGGAAAACACGGAAGUAAGAUUCAUAGAUACAUAAUAAGAGAAAUUCCUUAUGUAAUUAGCAACAAUUCCCCUUAACAUGCUCAGGUUCUCCACCAUAUUAACUUUGUGCUCCUCCAUGCACAAAUUCUUCAUCAACUGUUAAGAAGUCAUUGUGCAAUUUACUACUGUAAUGUUGCAAGCUUGCAAUGUAUUCUUGCGAUCGUUUGCACAUAUCAUUCACUGAAGUUAUUUGCAGAGUUCUGAAAAGAAAAUUUUUCAAAUUAAAACAUUUGUAAGGGAAAUCCAUACCUGUUGGCACGGAAGCAAAAGAAGGAAGGAAUGCAUAUUCUACUUUACCUUCUAAGUAACACUUGAAAGCUCUCUUUGAACUCUCAUGUGCCCUGCAGCCUGAUACACAUAUUAAAACAUUUAAUAAUGUAGACAACUUAACCAAGCUCAGCCACAUUGAAUAUCAAACCCACCUACAAACAAAAUGCUUCUGGAUCUCUUCAGCUGUUUCAGCUGGUUUCUUCACUCCUAUAACAUAAGGCCAAAAUACCCACAUCAAUACUACCUAAGCUCUGUAAUUCCUAUGGAAAACUUGUAUAUAACCAGCCUACUCUUUUCAAAAGGAAUUCGGUGUAUAAAAAAAAUGAGAAAUUCUAAAACUACGCAGCAGAAAUAAAGAAAAAACAAAAACUUACUAUGUCUUAUGACUCUAAUUCCAAUUGCCCUUCAAGCUCUCUAACUUUUGAACCACCAUGGUCAUACUGAUGAAUUCAUAACCAUGAAACCAAAAUCAUUACGUUGACAAAUAAACAUAACCAAAAACAAAAACAACUAAAUUUUUCAAAUGGGUAUCCCAAAAAUUCCCAGCCAAGUUAUCGAAAACUGAGCGACCUGUGCUGAGAGGGUGAUUGCCUUGGUCUGAAGCGUCUGCAGCUUCCUCUCCUUCUACCUCGCAGCUGAUUGCCUAUUAGCUAAAUCCUACAAAACCAAAAAAUUGAAAAACCACAAUUUCUCAUUCAAUCAUAUAAUAUCCACAAAAAUAACCCAAAAAUUCAACAUAAACACACAUAAAUAAAAAGGACGAUGAGGAGGAGGAUCAUAUGGAGAGUUUUCUGAGGGCUAAAAAGGACUUGGUGCUCACGCUGGCAUCGUAUGCUUUACACGCCGGAUAUGACUCCGAUGAGGAGGUAUAUGCGGCCGCCAAGGCCGUCGAUGCCGGGUUGUUGGAGUACGAUUCAGAUGAUAAUCCCAUUGUUCUGGACAAGAGGAAGAUCGAGCCGAUUCCAGCUCUCGAUCACAGUUCAAUCGACUACGAGCCGUUUAAUAAGGAUUUUUACGAGGAGAAAGAGUCGAUUUCAGGUAAAUUCCAACCGAACUGAGAAUUUUUUUUCUUUUUCAUUCACAUUUUUCAUUCUUGUGAAUUUAGUCGAAAUGCGUAGCAAAGUAUUCAAAGGGUCUAUUCAAUUGGAAUUUUGAAAGGGUUUUAAUUCUUUUAAUGGAUUUAGGGGUAUUCAAUCAAGAUUUUAAAUAAUUAUUUGAAAUUCAAGAUGUAUUCAAUUAGAAUUUUAAGAUAGUUUAUUAAAAUCCUUAGAAAUUCGGAUGUAUUCAAUUAGGAUUUUAAAGAAGUUUAUAACAUUUCAGGUGUAUUCAAUUAGAAAUUGAUUUAAAAGAAUUUGAGAAAGAUGAGGAAUUAGAGGGAAUUGGAGAGAUUUUAUAGUGUAUUUUAAGCAUCCACAAAUCUCACAUCUUCCCAUGAGAUUUCGAGGGAAUUGAAUCAAAAUUUUAUGUGGAAUCUCUACAAAUCAAUUAAACUUCAUAAAAAUCCAUAGAUUUAUAAAUCUAUGAAAGUCUCUCAAAUUCUCGAUUGAAUAGACCUCCUAAAUUUGAGUGAGAGAGAAUCUAGACCGGCAGAAGUUCUCAAGGAGACAUUUGAAAUGGAAGGCUAGAGUUAACUGGUGUUUUGUUUUCCUUGUUUAGGGAUGGGUGAAGAUGAUGUUUUUUAGUACAAGAAGAGCUUGGCCAUCCGUACGUCGGGUUUUGAUGUACCGAGGCCAGUUAAGACAUUUGAAGAUUGUGGAUUUUCUUCACAACUCAUGGCUGCCAUAAAAAAACAAGACUACCAAAAGCCGACACCAAUACAAUGCGCAGCUCUACCCAUAGUUCUUUCCGGGAGAGAUAUAAUUGGUAUUGCGAAAACUGGUUCUGGAAAGACUGCCGCUUUUGUCCUUCCAAUGAUUGUCCACAUUAUGGAUCAGCCAGAACUUCAAAAAGAAGAAGGUCCCAUUGGAGUGAUAUGCGCUCCUACUAGAGAGCUGGCGCACCAAAUAUACUUAGAGUCCAAAAAAUUUGCGAAAUCACAUGGGAUACGUGUCUCUGCUGUAUGGUGGAAUGUCUAAGCUUGAUCAGUUCAAAGAACUUAAGGCAGGAUGUGACAUAGUUGUUGCUACUCCUGGGAGAUUGAUAGACAUGCUUAAAAUGAAGGCACUGACAAUGCAAAGGGCAACUUACCUAGUACUUGAUGAGGCUGAUCGGAUGUUUGACCUAGGGUUUGAGCCUCAAAUUAGAUCUAUUGUUGGUCAGAUUCGGCCAGACCGACAGACAUUGCUCUUUUAUGCGACAAUGCCCCGUAAAGUUGAAAAAUUGGCUAGGGAGAUUCUCUCAGAUCCUAUAAGAGUUACAGUGGGUGAGGUGGGAAUGGCCAAUGAGGAUAUCACUCAGGUUGUUCAUGUAAUUCCUUCUGAUGAUGAAAAGCUGCCCUGGCUUCUUGAGAAGUUACCUGGAAUGAUUGAUGAGGGUGAUGUUUUAGUAUUUGCUUCAAAAAAAGUUGCAGUGGAUGAGAUCGAGUCACAGCUUGCUCAGAAAGGUUUUAAAGUCACAGCUCUGCAUGGUGACAAGGACCAGGCAUCUCGGAUGGAUAUUUUGCAAAAAUUUAAAUCUGGCAUUUACCAUGUUCUUGUUGCAACUGAUGUUGCUGCUCGUGGUCUUGACAUCAAGUCAAUUAAGUCAGUUGUGAACUUUGAUAUUGCAAAGGACAUGGACAUGCACGUCCAUCGAAUUGGUAGAACAGGUCGGGCUGGUGAUAAGGAUGGCACUGCGUACGCUUAUUGCACAGAAAGAGGCACGUUUUGCUGGUGAGUUGGUUAAUAGCUUGGUUGCUGCUGGUCAGAUUGUCUCCACGGAGCUCAUGGACCUUGCGAUGAAGGUAAUUUUGCAGUACUAUUAACAAUUUUUUUUGUGGUUUAUAUAGCGAGUUUAUACAUGCAUCCAACUACCUGCCUUUUUGUUUUAGAGAUGGUGGUUAUAACCAUAGUUUGUAAUCCUAUAAUGCAUUUAAGGCGAAUACAAGUUAUUAAUAUGUUCUCUGGUAAAACGUGCUCUUUUAAUGCAAUCUAGAUUCUGGACAAUUACACCUACAGGUGUUUGUCUCACAAAUAAACUACGUUACUUUCACUCUACUAUAUAGGUGCAUAGGUUGCUUCUGAUUUAGAGUGGGCUUUCGAGAGAGAUGGAUUUGAUGACCAUUUGGUCUUCAAGGCCUUAUUUUGGAAAGCUUCAGUUUGUCCUUGGAAUUACAGCGAUUUUGAGAUCGUUGACUUCAUAAUGUCAAGAUAGUCAAUUUCAGGAAAAGUGCUUAGUUUAGAGAGAGAGUAAUUAGACAGUCUUUAGUAGUCCCAUCUUUACUUCGUACCAUGCUUUGCAUAGAAAAGGGGUUUUUGGGGGUGUAUGUUGGCUUGUGUAUUGAAGCAUAGAGAUGAAUUGAAGAUGAAGCUCAGUCUGGGGACUUAUUAGCUUUUUAUGUAUUAUUAAGUUCUUGCUUGCAUUCUGGGCUACCAAUACAUCGGUUGAGGCCAACCAAUUUGCAUUAAAGAACAAAGAGAAAAAUUGCAUUUUAAGUACUAAAUCUUAAUUACCACAUGGACCCUUAGUAAAUUGUCACUUAUUUUCCCUUGUGCCAAUAUAUCUCAUAUACAUAAAUGCACAGCUUAUCAUGAUAGGUGGCUGCACCUGCAUUAGUUUUAGAAGUUUUACACUAUGAGAGCCACUCAUGCAUCAUUUCUUCAGUCUUGCGACUUUUAAUUCUUGCUUGCUGCUUGUAGCUUUGUAUUUCACGUCCCUCAUAAAUACACUGGUUUCCAUCUCCUACAUGGAUGUACAUCUUUAUAGUUAUUUUGGGUGCACCUCGUCUGUGGAACUUUUGUUGCUUUCCCUUACUAUGUUUCUUGUUUGAUAGCUUUAGAUGUUAGCAUGAGAUGUCAGAUUUCAGAUCUUACAUUCUCUAUUUUAAUGGGAUUUACCUUGUUUAUUAUCAGGAUGGUAGAUUCAGGUCAAAACGCGAUUCAAGAAAAGGAGGUAUAAACUUUAAUCAUACUAAAAUUUCAAUUUUCUUAAGAUUCUUUUGCAGUUUCAUAUUAAAUUAGCCUUUUUCUGUAAUUUCAAAUGAUGAUAUUUAUGGAUUCUGCAGGUGGAAAGAAAGGUAGAGGAAGGGGCGGCGGUGGUCGAGGUGUGCGUGAGGUGGAUUUUGGUCUGGGUAUUGGAUAUAAUACGGAGUCCAAUAGUUCUUCAUCGAAUACUGUUCCUAGUCGAUCUGCCGCAGAAACUCCUCAGAGGACAGGAAUGAUGUCUCAGUUCAAGACUAAAUUUGUUGCCGCUUCAUCUAACUCUCCAAGUCAAGGUUCAGGUAACAACUCUAGUGUGCCCAACAGACCGGCAUUACGAGGAUUUGUAUCCGAUGGUUCAAUCGGUGGGGAUGUAUAUAGAACUCAGACAGCCAGUACAAUUACUCCUGGUCCUCCUACAUCAGUGGUAAAUAAAACUGCUGCUCGGAACACCGGAGCAAAUACAAGUCAGAAGGCCUCCGAAAGGUUAAUAAAAUUGAUGCUCGGUUAGAAUUUUCAAUGUCUUUACGUAUUUGAUUGGUGCUGAUCAGUUUCAUUUGUGUCUUUUGCAGUUCUAGAGACAAACCUAGAGAAAGGCGGCGGCGCUCCGGUUGGGACUGUUGACCGUCCAGUUGAACUCCACCACUCUCACAUCGUGAAUGACGAGUUUUGUAUCUUUUGUAGAUUAAGGCCUGAUAUGCCUGUAUUAUUGUUGAACUUGGUCACUUUCUUUGUCGCUGUGUUUUAAGUUAAAAGAAAUAUAAGAGUUUGUAACUUGCUGCACAAAUAGUAGAUGGCCUAAAAGAUAGUCGGUUUAAAUCAUUAAAUACAUUAUAAAGCGGGCCUCACAAAAAAGUGUCAAAAGUUGUGUUAAAAAAUGUGGUGUUUCACAUCUCUGCUCCAUAUGUUAUUUUUAUUGAUCACUUCGAAUUACUUCAUAAUUCAACAAUUGGUACUGUUCCACUUCUCUUCCUCUCUCCCUUGGUAUACAUAAUAUCAUUUGUUCAAAAAAAAAAAAAAACAAUUGGUACUGUUAAUAUAAUACAAUAUGGCUUUGUUCGAUGUCAAGGAUUGGAUUGAUUUGAUUGGCUUAGUGAUAGGAAUUAUAACGCACCACAAAGUAGCACACAAUAAUCCUAUUGAUUUUCCUUAUUAUCACUAAAUUUGUCGAUUGUAGCAUAUGAAAAUAAGGGUCUUUUCCGCAGAAGAUUGUUUUAGCCAACUACUUAAAAUGUCACAAAAACGGGGUGGCUAUCUCCAUUGACCAGCCACUGAAAAUAAUUAUUAAACUGACUUAUACUCAUCCAAAUGCAACGAAAUUUUGUACAUAUAAACUAGACACACCGAGCUAUGUUCACACAAAUUUUUGGGAUUUUUGGAUUUGAUUAGCUAUUUAAAUUAAAUCGCACAAAACAGAACAACACAAAUUUUAAAUAAUACCAAGAAAUUUUAAUUCACAAAUUAAGAAAACGAGUUAGGGGAAAUGCUAUCCACCACCAAAUAAUCAUGCAAGCAUGUUAUGUUUCAUUAAAAUUCCUUUUAUUUCUGGAUGAAGAUGCUCAAGUUGGCUCAAUGUUAGAACUCAAUCUAUUACUCUUUCUUACGUAGUAUGUUAAGAGAAUGGCGUUUUCAACUUAACUUAGUCCCUAGCAUGCAAUCUAGAAUGGCGUAUUCAUAGAUUUAACAAGUAGAAAUCAUUAAGAAUAAAAAGAGUUUGAGUCAUCACAAGGCAUCGUAAGUACUGGUGUUGUCUUACUUAUCCUAGAAAUCGUUUCACAUGUUAACCACAAUUAACAAGUGCUACUCUAGAACAUAUGUAGGUCCUCAUUCAACAAGGGCAGGCACACAUAUAUUCAUAGCAUUAAAAUCCUAGAUAUGCUCACUAUGUAUGCAUCCAUAGAAACACAUAAAGAAUUUAUCAAUGACAUAAGUAGUGAAACAAUUUUCAUCCUUUCAUAAAAGUCAUUCAAACAAAAUAUCACAACAAACUUACAAUCAUAUUCGGGGCUUCAAAACAGCCCCUAACUACUAAAAAUUAGUUACACAUCAUUAUUUUCAAAUUAAACCAAAAGUUAAACAUGAGUUUGAGACAAUAGAACCGAAAUAGAAGAGUGCAGAGGUUUCCUCUUUCCCUUGCCAAGCUUGCAGUGCAGCUUAAGCUCUCUUUUUCUAUUGACAGCUAGGACAGUAUGGGAGAGAUAAUAUUGACAGCUAGGACAGUAUGGGAGAGAGGAAAUAUGACAGUAUGGAGAGAGGGAAUAUUGCUCGUGAAAAGGAAUGUUGUAUAUUCCUUGACAGAUAGACAAUGCUGUAUGGGAGAAAGGAAUGCUGCUUAUUUUUUCUCUAGUUGCUGCAUCAUGACAGCAAGCACAACACCUGUAUUGCUUUUCUUUAUUGCAUGCGUGUAUGUAAAAUGCAUAUAAACAAUGCUGCCGUUGCAGCAGAAUGAAUAAGAAAGAAACAACAAAGUUGAAACCAAAACAUCAAUAUGGUAUCAGAGCAGGAACCAUAGGGUCCUGCCUCUGUUGAUUAUCCUUCUAGCUUGUUCUUCUUCCUCUGUUCAUCAUUUGUUGUGAUGGCAGAAGAUAUCUCAUUUAGUUAUGAGGCUACAAGUCCCUCAACUCUAACACCAGCCAACAUGAUACACGGGGAGAGCAACCCACGACUGUGCUCUGUGUUGUUGAAUGAGUUCAACUACUUGCCGUGGUCACGAGCUAUAUCUCUUGCCCUAGGAGGAAGAUCGAAACUAGGGUACGUAAAUGGAACCAUCAAGCCUCAAGAGUCUUCCUCAGCUACCUUUGAUGCAUGACACUCAAAUGACCAGCUUGUUAUGUCCUGGAUACUUAACUCGAUGGAGCCCAAGUUGUCCGGGAUCUUCAGCUACUCAGAUUCUUCACACAUCUUAUGGGAAUCGAUCAAGGAAAUGUACGGCAGUCAACACAAUGCUGCUCGUGUGUUUGAACUGAAGAAAAGCCUCGCUGGGCUUAAGCAAGGUGAUCAAACUUUCAUUCAGCAUCUUGGAAGCAUGAAAUCUAUGUGGAAUGAACUUGAUCUAUACCGUCCACACACCACUGAAUCCGCUGUACUCUUGAAAAGGGCUGAUGAAGAUAAAGUGUUCCAACUAUUGGCAAGUUUGGGAGUUGAGUAUGAAGACUUGCGUAGCCACUUACUAAUGAAUCCUAAGCUACCAUCUUUCGUCAACGUGUGUCAUGCAGUCCAAAGAGAAGAAACUCGAAGGAAAGUAAUGCAUGUUGAGCCCCGGUCUAGCCCAAAAGCUAGGGUUUUCACUAGUAACCACAACUUCACUAGUGAAAGGCCUUUUAAUGGAAGGAAAGCUGACUGGAAAUGCACAUACUGCAACACCAAGGGGCACGUACGGGAAAAAUGCUGGAUUUUACAUCCUGAGUUAAAACCUAAGUUUAACAAGGAAGGAAAAAUGAUUAGGGAUGGGAAAGGGUUUGCGCCUAAAGCCUUCCAAUCUCUGAGUUGUCCAUCUAAUGAGAUGUCAAACUUCACCUCAAACCCUAUCUCCCUGAUCAAUGAGUUUGCCGCCUUUCUCCAAAAGAAGAGUGAUAUCGCUGAGGGUAACAAUGUCACCACGGAAAAUCCCACAGAAAUGCUUGGAAAAUUUGCUGGUUUUUUGGCAAAUUCAAACACCACUAAAUUCGGCAAUAUCCCAGGUAUCAUUUGUGCACUUUCCACGGCUCUCAAUGUAUAUCUCACACACGAUUUUUAGAUUAUAGACUCAGGUGCCACUGACCAUAUAACCAACAAACAAGCUUGUCUACAUGAGUUUCAAAAAUUACCUAAUCAUACUCAUGUGUCUGUAGCGAAUGGGAAAGGGGAACCAGUUCUAGGAAAAGGAAAAAUUAAAUUGAUGGGGAGUGAUGUAGAGUCUACGGCACUAUAUGUACCCUCAUUUCCAUUUCAACUUCUGUCCAUAGGAAAAAUCACACAUACUUUGAACUGUCUUGCUAUUUUUUCUCCUCACACAGUUGUAUUUCAGGAUCGAGUCACUCAGAAGAAGAUUGGUGAGGGUUUUUUCUUAAAUGGUCUGUACUACCUCUCAAAGGAGUUCAAUCAAGUUAAGGAACCCAUUGUCAACCUAAGCCAUGUCCAGAAGCAUCAACUUUGGCACCAACGCCUAGCUCAUCCCUCCGAACCAGUAAUGUCUAAAUUAUUUUCCAAAUUAUUGUACCAACACACAUGAGUGUGAGAUCUGUCAAAUGUCAAAAGCCACUAGGCUACCUUUUGUACCCUCUAAAUCUAGAACUAGUAAACCCCUUGAAGUUGUACACUCAGAUAUUUGGGGACCUUCCCGUGUUGAGUCAUUUGAUAGGUACAAGUAUUUUGUUACAUUCAUAGAUGACUACUCUAGGGUUACUUGGUUAUAUCUCUUAAAGUCUAAAAGUGAAUUUUUUUUACAGCUUUUCAAGACUUUCAUAAGCUAAUAACCAACCACUUCUCCUCAAAAAUAUGUACCUUACGGUCAGAUAAUGGCACCGAGUAUACCUCCAAUAAUCUGUCAAACUACUUAAGCAGUCAUGGUAUCUUGCAUCAAACUAGUUGUGUAGGUACACCACAACAAAAUGGUGUGGCCGAACGCAAGAAUAAGGAUUUAUUGGAGAAAACUAGGUCUCUUAUGUUUCAGAUGCAAGUUCCCAAGAGAUUCUGGUCCCAAGCACUCCUUACUGCAGCCUAUAUCAUUAACAGACUUCCCACUCGUGUCCUGAAUUCCAAAUCACCUUUUGAAGUUAUGAAGGGAAGAACUGCUGAUUUAACUCAUUUCAGGAUUUUUGGGUGCACGUGUUAUGUUCACGUUCAAGCAAAUCAUCGUGAUAAACUCGAACCUCGAGUUAUCAAGUGUGUGUUUAUGGGGUACUCGAGUUCUCAAAAGGGAUACAAAUGUUAUAACCCACACACUGGGAAGCUGGUUGUCUCUAGGGAUGUACGGUUUGAUGAACACGUUCAUUUCUUCAACAAUCACUCCCCAAAUAGUUCUCAGGGGGAGAGUCUAAUGGAUAUUUUUCCACUACCAACUCUCGCUGAAAUCCAUACAGACACCCCCCCAGUGAUCCUCCAGUUGAUGAGAUGGUCAGUGAAGAUAUACCUCGUGCCCCAGCACCAGUUGUUGCCACACAACCAAUUGUAGCAACACAAAAAAGGAAUCCAACUCGCGAUCGCAACCCUCAUCGACGGCUACAAGAGUACAUCACUUACAGUGCAAGGCAUCCCAUUUCUGAAGCUCUCACUUAUCACAAACUGUCAGCAUCUCAUGCAUCAUUCCUAAGUCAGUUGGCAAACAAUGUUGAGCCUAAAAACUUUCAAGAAGCAGUAUGUAUACCUGUGUGGAGAGAUGCCAUGCAUGAUAAGCUCAAAGCACUGAACGAAAAUCAAACCUGGAGUGUAGUAGAUCUUCCCAAAGGGAAGAAAGCCGUAGGGAGUAGAUGGAUUUACAAGACCAAAUUCAAUUCUAAUGGUACCAUUGAAAGACACAAGGCCCGGUUGGUUGCACGGGGUUUCACUCAAACUUACGGCAUUGACUACAAGGAGACCUUUGCUCCCGUUGCCAAAAUGAACACAGUGAGGGUGUUGUUAUCAGUAGCAGUCAACCACGACUGGCCCUUGUUUCAAAUGGAUGUUAAAAACGCAUUUCUUCACGGUGAGCUUCAAGAAGAGGUGUACAUGAAGCUACCUCCAGGACACCCUCAAGAAAAAGAACCUACCAAAGUCUGCAAGCUUCAUAAAGCUAUAUAUGGACUUAAACAGUCUCCUCGAGCUUGGUAUGCCAAACUAAGCUCUGUUCUUGAAGUGGCAGGGUUCAAAAGGAGUCAUGAUGACUCAUCUCUCUUUGUUCGAAGUGGUGUCCAAGGGAAGCUUGUAGUUCUUAUAUGUUGACGACCUUAUCAUCACGGGGGACAACAUGGAUGAACUCGAGGCUCUUAAAAGGUCGCUUCACCAACAGUUUGCCAUUAAAGAUUUGGGAUCCUUGAAAUAUUUUCUGGGUAUUGAGAUGGCUACCUCAUCCAAGGGUUUAUUCUUAAAUCAAAGGAAGUAUGUUCUUGACCUUCUUGAUGAAGCACAUAUGGUCAACUGCAAACCUGCCCGCACCCCACUUGCUAGCAAACUUCAACUGGAUGCUCCAGGUACCCUUCUUUCAAAUCCUAAUGUGUAUCAACGCAUGGUUGGGAAACUCAUUUACCUCACUAUCACACGGCCUGAUAUUGCUUACUCCGUAAGCCUUAUCAGUCAGUUUAUGCAUUCUCCUACAUUGGUUCAUUGGGAAAUUGUCAAGAGAAUACUUCGAUACCUCAAGGGCUCGAUCGGCAGAGGCAUACUCAUGCAGAAAAAUGAGUCUAAUCACAUUCUGGCCUAUACCGAUGCGGAUUGGGCUGGUAAUUCCCUUGAUCGAAAAUCCACCACAGGUUUUUGUACCUUUGUAGGUGGAAACCUUGUCACCUGGAAAAGUAAAAAACAAACAGUGGUUGCACGGUCCAGUGCUGAAGCUGAAUAUCGGGCCAUGGUAGCAACAGCUUCUGAACUCAUCUGGUUGAAGAGUCUCCUUCUUGAUCUUGGCUUCACCAGUAAGGAACCCAUGUCCUUAUUCUGUGACAACCAGGCUGCCAUGCAUAUUGCAUCCAAUCCUGUAUUCCAUGAACGGACUAAACACAUUGAAGUUGACUGCCACUACAUCCGCACUCAAGUUCAAUCCAAAGUCAUCGAAACUGUGUACACUAGAAGUCAUGAUCAACUUGCGGACCUUUUCACGAAAGCUCUUGAUUUUACACAGUUUCAACGGUUAUUGUUCAAGCUUGGAUCAAUCAACCCCCUUAAUCCCGCUUGAGGGGGAGUAUUGACAGCUAGGACAGUAUGGGAGAGAGGGAAUAUGAUAUUGACAACUAGGACAGUAUGGGAGAGAGGAAAUAUGACAGUAUGGAGAGAGGGAAUAUUGCUCGUGAAAAGGAAUGUUGUAUAUUCCUUGACAGAUAGACAAUGCUGUAUGGGAGAAAGGAAUGCUGCUUAUUUUUUCUCUAGUUGCUGCAUCAUGACAGCAAGCACAACACCUGUAUUGCUUUUCUUUAUUGCAUGCGUGUAUGUAAAAUGCAUAUAAACAAUGCUGCCGUUGCAGCAGAAUGAAUAAGAAAGAAACAACAAAGUUGAAACCAAAACAUCAAUAUUUUCCUUCUGCUCUUCUUUUCCCUUCUGCUCUCUGCACUUCCUCUUCUUCUAUCCGUCUCUCCCUCUUUCCUCUUCUUUCGUUUUUGUUCUUCUCCUCUGCUCUGUCCGUUUCCUCUCUUCUUUAUAUUUUUUUCUUCUUUCUUCUUUUCUUCUUUCUGUCCUUUUCUUCUUUUCCUUUCUUUGUUUUGUUUUCUUUCUUUUCUUAUGUAACCCCCCCUUUUCUUCUACAAACAUCAUUAUGAAUCAUGAUGAUGUUUCAAACAUCAUCAUGACUCAUCAUUAUCUUUUUUUUUAAUUUAAUUUAAAAGCUGAUCUACACAGAGACGAAUUUAUUACAUAAAAUUUCACUUGUUCUAUUUUUAUUUUCUUUGCUAGACAAAUCCUAUAAUACGCAAAAACAAAGUAAUAGCUCAAAAAUAUAAGGAACUAACUAAUAAAAGACAAAUGAAAUUGAUGUAAAAUAUAUAUAAAUAUGAACUUAUCACUUAGCUUGAAAAAUCACAAAAUUCAGUGAAUAAAAAUACAGAUUGUUUAUUUUGUCCAAAUGAAGAUGGAAGAGAAAAAGAAACAGACUAGUAUAACAAAUAUUUACGGACCAUGCAUCGAUUAUUAAUUACACCUAUACGUCAAUUGAUAAUUAUAAUUUUUGUUUUUAAAUGUUAUUAUCUCUUAAAUAAAUAACCAUGUUGUUUUUAUCUCCUCAUCCUAUGUUACGUGUCGAAUUCGUGUGAAGUCUGGCGGGACAAGAGAUGACUUUGAUCACCAUGAGCUCCUUUCCAUAGCCAUUUUUCUUUACCUUGAGCCCCUUACACAAAGUCCGUUCUUAAGAUCUGGAGUUUUCUCUCAAUGGCUGCUAAAAGUUCCCGAGAUUCUUCUUCGUCCUCUUACCGGUGUUCCGCCUUCUUGAGUUUCAGAGGCAAGGACACGCGCAAGGGGUUUACUGAUCACCUCUAUAGAGCCUUGGAGCUAGCAGGAAUCCACACGUUUAGAGACGAUGAUGAAAUCAAGAGAGGGGAGAAUAUUGAGUCGGAGUUAGAGAAGGCGAUACAGGAGUCACAAGUAUCCAUAAUUGUCUUCUCCAAGGACUACGCUUCCUCAAGGUGGUGUUUGAACGAACUUCUGAAGAUCGUCGAACGUAGAAAUACUGAUCGUAGACAUUUGGUUCUGCCAGUUUUCUAUGAUGUGGAUCCAUCCGAUGUCAGGAAGCAGAGUGGUUCUUUUGCUGAAGCAUUUGCCAGACAUGAGGAGCGAUUCAGUACGGAGAUGGACAAGGUGGAGCUGUGGAGAAGAGCUCUUGGAGAUGUUGCAUCUUUGGGAGGCAUGGUUUUAGGAGAUCGGUAAUUUCUUUUCUCAAUAUGUUCUUGAGCUUAUUGAAAGUGUUUUAAAUUAAGUAAAAUUGCAGAUAUGGCAGUGAAGCUUGAAGUUGUUCAAUUUUGGUUUAUAUGCUAUAAUAUAUACUGCGAUUUUGGUUUAUAUGUUACUAUCGAUUUUGGUUUAUAUGUUCUCACGCUUAUUUCUGCGUCGUAUAUUUCGAUUCAAAUGAAUUACAGGUAUGAGGGGCAGUUCAUCGAAGAUAUUGUUGAAGAGAUUAGAAAUAAAGUGGGUCACGCAGCUUUAGACGUCGCUCCCUUUGCAGUUGGAAUGGAUAAUCGUGUGAGACGCCUAAACAUGUGGUUACAAGAUGGAUCAAAUGAUGUUGGUUUAGCUGUCAUCUGUGGGAUGGGUGGAAUUGGCAAGAGCACCAUUGCGAAAGCUGCUUAUAAUCAAAACUUUGAUAGAUUUGAAGGUAGCAGCUUUCUUGCAGAUAUUCGAGAAUCUUCAGAACAACCUAAUGGUUUUGCUUGCUUGCAAAGAAAACUUCUUUCAGAUAUCCAAAAGGGGAACACAAAGAAAGUAUACAAUGUGGCUGAAGGAAUAAGCAGGAUCAAACGAGCUGUAGGCUACAAAAAAGUUCUUAUUGUUCUCGAUGAUGUGAACAGCCGGGAUCAACUCAAUGCAAUUCUUGGAAUGCGAGAAUGGCUUCAUCAAGGAAGUAAAAUUAUCAUAACAACUCGACAUGAACAUUUGUUAAAUGCUCAUGAAGUUUGUGAAAAGUUUAUGGUUCGAGAACUGGAUGAGUAUGAAUCACUUGAGCUUUUCAGUUGGCAUGCCUUCAGACAAUCCCAUCCAGUAGAAGGUUACAUGGAGCUUUCAAGACAUGUGGUGCGGCACUGUGGAGGGCUUCCAUUAGCUCUUCAAGUUGUGGGAUCUUCUCUAUCUGGAAAAAGUGAAGAAGUAUGGCAAAGUGCAUUGCAGAAGUUAGACGUGAUCCCCAAUGACAAAAUUCAAAAAGUUCUGAGGAUAAGUUUUGAUUCUUUACCGGAUGAUCAUGACAAAAAUUUAUUCCUUCACAUAGCCAGCUUCUUCACAGGAAAGACGAUGGAUUAUACAAUUACAAUACUGGACAACUUAGAGUUUUGCACAAGGAUUGGGAUUGAAAAUCUAGUUGACAGAUGCCUAGUGAAAAUUCAAGGGUCGAAGUUGGCCAUGCAUCAGUUGGUGAGAAACAUGGCAAUGACAAUUAUUCGCGAAGAAUCACCUCAUGACCCUGGAAAACGUAGUAGAGUGUUGCAGAAUGAUGCCUCUAAUAUUUUGAGAAAAUUAAGUGUAAGAACUAUGUUUUUCAUGCGUAUGUUUUUAGUUAUGAUUUGCAUGUGUAGUACUAGUUAUAUACUUACCCAAAUGCUCUGAUUUUUUUGCAGGGCACGGAAAAUAUUAAGGGCCUCAUGCUCAACCUUGCUAGCAAAAGAACAUUUGUUGGAAGUGAUAACAAACGAUGCCAUGUUGAAGAUUAUGAUGGAAAUUGUUCAAGACGACGUGGGCUUGGUUUCUUCUCUUGGAAGCCAAUUAGCUUUUCCUCCACAAACUCAGCUUCUGCAUCAAAUGAGAUAGAUUUCAAAUCUGAGGCGUUUAGAAGGAUGCACAAUCUUGAAAUUCUCAUUCUCAACAAUGUCAACAUCAGGGGAAGCUAUGAAGAAUUUUCAAAAAAUUUAGUAUGUUUAUCUUGGCGAGGAUUCCACUUAAAAUCAAUACCAAAAAAUUUUUGUUUGGAAAACCUGGUUGUUCUAGACAUGCGAAAUAGUAGCCUACAACAUGUUUGGAAUGGGACCAGGGUAUGUAACUCUCUCUCUCUCUCUCUCUCUCUCUCUCUCUCUCUCACACACAAAAAUGAAUAGGGGCCAUUAUAUCUUCUUAGAAGCUAAUUAACUUGUAUUAUUAUUGAAACAGGUUAUUCCAAGGCUGAAGAUUCUUAAUUUCAGUUAUUCGCAUGGCCUUAGGACAAUCCCCGACUUCUCAGGACUCUAUAACCUUGAGAGGUUGAUUCUUAAACAUUGCAUAAAUUUGGUUGAGGUUCAUGAGUCCAUCGGACACCUAGAAAAACUUCUUGUUUUGAAUCUAAAAGGCUGCAAAAAUCUCAUGAAGCUUCCAAUAUUGAGAUCUAUUCAGGUUCUUAUUCU